RNAcentral lists this long non-coding RNA (55704 nucleotides) under Malus domestica (apple). RNAcentral's name for it is "long non-coding RNA (MDOM_LNC005156)". Lineage: Eukaryota; Viridiplantae; Streptophyta; Magnoliopsida; Rosales; Rosaceae. The record is from RNAcentral.
AAAAACAUAACUCAAGAAGAAAUUAACUAAACGUGACCCAUGCAUUUAAGCUAAUGAUCAGGAGAGUUUCUUUUGGUUCUUGACCUUCCACUCUUUGAUAUUAGCUUCAAUCUUUGCUUUCACACUUUUAUGAAACCCUGGAUACGGUUCAUACCCAAAGGCUGAUUGAAGAAGCUCAAGCAACACGAAGUAAGGCCCCAUCAGAAGUGCUUGAGCAAAGUUGUCUCCAAGAGCUGGUGCUCUUUUUUCAAAAAUCCCGUGGCCUAUGAACUGUCCACCCCAGCAGAAAACCUGAGCAGCAAGAACAAGCUUCCAUGACUUAGCAAACCCUAUCCAAUAGCAAGAACACUGGCUCCAACCCAGCAGAGAAAACAUAGCAAAGCUGCCAAGGACCCAGCUUUCUUGUCCAAUUUGACAUAAAAGUUAAAACAAACCCUAAAUUCAAUUUGAAACCAUGAUUGUUAAACCCAGAUGAGAAAUUGUAGAGAGAGGGUGUGAAGUGGAAAAGAACAGCAGCGGUGAAGAAUAAUGGCCACACAAAGAAAGUGUGAAUCAAAAUGUUAACUGGGUUGCUGUGAUAUGCCCCAUAGAAGGCGAAGUGCCCUUCAAGAUCAAACAAUCCAGUCGUCCCCAUGAAAUUUUUUCUUGCAAAGUUGAUUUGCUUUUGUUGAAAAAAGUACAGGCAUCCCUUGCUCGGAAACUAGACUGAGAAAAUAAAUUAAAUUGGAUAUAAAUUGGAGCCUAAAAGCAAGGUAGUGGAACGCUCCUGGUAUCUAUACUUUGAACUUUUUUUAUUAAAUGUUUUACAAAUGCAGCAAUGGUAUAAUAUUGUUAAAUCAUCAACUUGUAUUAAGUUAUAUAGAAUGAUGCAAAUAGAUUAAACUGCAAGGUAUUGAGAUGAACACAAAAAAUCUGCACGUUAUUAAGGAGGAUUAUGUUGGAAUAUAUUAGUAUUUUAGGUAAUUUUAUAUUGUAAGGGUGUUUUAGUAUUUUGAGUCUAAGGUUUCUUGUAGGUUAAGGAUUUCGAUUCCUCGUCUAUUAGGGAUUAAUAAUCCGUUAUUUAAUCAUAAUUAAAAUUAAGAGUUGAAUUAAGGAGAAUCAAAAUCAUAUUUCCAUGAAAAUUGUUUACUAAAAUGUUCUGAAAUCGGAAUAGAAAUUGUACUGAUUUCAUAAAAUUGUUUAUUAAUUCACCAAAAUCGGAAUAUAAAUAAGUAUGAUUAUAUCUCUUUGGAGACAUCUGAUAAAAAAUAAAAUAAACAUGAUUACUAGUAAGGAAGAAAAAUUCAAUAAUAUCGGCGAAAUAUCGCCGAUAUUAUCGUUUUUUUGGAGAUCAAAAUUUUUUUUAACUAUCCAAAUGAUUUUCGUCAAAAUAUCGCGAUAUUUUUAAAAUUAUCGAUAUUAUCGUAAAAUAAUAUUCAAAAAUAUUUAAAAAUGUUGAAAAUCUCAACAUACACUACACUUGAUCAAAUCCCCCAGAGGCUAACCAAGACCUGCUUUUCUCACCAUGUGAAUGUGCCUUUUAUAGGCGUUCUUGGCUUGCUCACUGCCCUCGCUGGGCGAUGUGGGACUCGACCAAGGAAAAAAAAUAGGAAUUUCGGCCGAAAAUCCACACCCACUUUAAACGGCCAUAACUUUGUCAAAACUCAACAAAAUCAAGCAAGACAACAACGAAAGUUGUAGCCCUCGAAGAGACGAAGAGAAUGGUACCUCACACAACGUCUGAAUUGUCGUGGUUUGGCCGGAAAAUUCCUCGAAAGUCACUGAGGUCGCCGGAAACUGGGUAAGAUUCAAAUGAGUAUAACUUUUUCAAUACUCAACGAAAUUGAGUGAAACAAAAAUAAAAGUUGUACUACUCGACGAGACGAAGAGAUUGAUACCUUGAACGGCAGCCAACUCGCCGUGGUUUGGCCGGAAAUUGCCUCGAAAGCCACUGAGAUCGCCGGAAACUGGGUAAGAUUCAAAUGAGUAUAACGUUUUCAAUACACAACGAAAUUGAGUGAAACAAAAAGGAAAGUUGUAGCCCUCGAAGAGACGAAGAGAAUGGUACCUCACACGACUUCUGACUCGUUGUGGUUUGGCCGGAAAUUGCCUCGAAAGCCACUGAGGUCGCCGGAAACUGGGUAAGAUUCAAAUGAGUAUAACUUUUUCAAUACUCAACGAAAUUGAGUGAAAUAAAAAGGAAAGUUGUACUACUCGACGAGACGAAGAGAUUGAUACCUUGCACGCCGGCUAACUCGCCGUGGUUUGGCCAGAAAACCAAAACGUAUUGCCUCAAGGGCUGGUACAUGUGAACUUGUGACUCCAACUAGGUAAGAGCCAGAUCUAAUUUGGGGCCUUCUAUCCUAUAUUUGUGGACAACCAUCAAAUGCUAAAGAUUAAACAAACAUAAUAUGUUCUACUGCUUAGCAAAAAAAGCUACAAACCCUUUGCUUAUCAGCAAAAAAAGACAAGUCCUUGCACUAGAUAUACUUUCAAAUUACGUUGAGUAGCAACCUGAUAUAUGUAUUCGGACGAAUUAUAAAACAAUUGACACACUCCUGACUUCCAAAAUUCAAUUCUUUUACUUUAUAUAAACUUGAAAAAACAUAAUCGGCAUCCAAAUUAAAGUUUAGUCUUAUUCAAUGUAUUGAUUUUCAAUCGUUAAUUGAUAUACUAUAAUUUGGAACAUCAACGCCUAGACGCAUGCUUAUGUGUAAGAAAUUUAAAGUGUCAAAUUCGGCACAUUAUUCUUCAUCAUUUUAUUCACUUCCCUUUUUUUUUUUUAAUAUCCUAAAUAAAACCUCCAAAUAUUGUACUAAUUCAUUAUAUAUAAAUGAUUAUGGUGUGUUUAGACUUCUUUCAUUAAUUACUACAUAUUUUCUACACUCACAAUGUUUGUCAGCUCGCUAUAUAAUCAACUUGAUAAUGUUAAAUCCAUCAUGCAAUGCAUUUCUUUCCAAUUUUUUGUGAUAAACUAAUAGAUAAUUGACUAAAUAAACAUCCUACAAAGUUUCAAUAAAAAUUUCCAAGUUUUUCUUACAAUUUCCGUGGUUUCCAUGUAAUUUUUAUCGAUAUCGAUAUUUUACCGAUAUUUCCAUCGAUAUUUCCGUGUUUUCAGACUACCGAUAUUUCCGAUAUUACCGAUAUUUUCUUCCUUGAUUACUACAAUGCCCAUCUUCCCUAUCCUUUCUUCUUUUCGGCCUCUUCAACUUUAUGUUUUUCAACUAAAUUGCAGUAAAACUCACCCCACCGACAAUAGAAAGAACAAUCCUUCAUUUUCAUUAUUAAUUAUUAUUUUGAUACAAUCAGACACCAUAUCUCCUCAAGUCUCGUUCUGUAUAGUUAAAAAUAAAUAAAUAAAAAUAUAAAAUUAUAAAAAAAAAAAUAAAAAAAAGAGAGAACGGUAAGCAGACAGGCAAUAUCCUGGACCAGAUAACGAUGCAAAUUUUGUAGGGAUGGAUGACGACCACUAAAAAUCUCUAUUUGGUAUUAAUAUUUGCAUGAUUUUAGGAAGGAUUUCAUAAUUGUGGUUAUUAAAAUUUUUAAUUAAUACUGAAACUUAACAUUUUGUCAUUCAAUCAAAAUAUUCAGAUUAAUAAAGUUUCAAUCUAAGAUUUUAGUUAAUCAGGUGCCGUUUGGUACGUGGGACGGGACGGGACGGGACGAGUCGUUCCGUCCCAUGUUUGAUGUGCCUAAAAACUGUGGAACGGGUUGUCCCAUGGGAUGAAAUUUGGCUGAUUUUUCGUUCCACCUCUUCGCCCUGGAACAACUCGUUCCACAUCCGUGGGACACAAAUUUAUAACAUUUUAUAACAAAAUUUCUCUUUAUCUUUUUCAAUAUUUACAUCAUCUGUUCCGUCCUGUUCCGUCUCGUCCCGUCCCGUCCCGUUCUGUUCCGUCUCGUCCCUUCCCGUCUUGUUCCGUCCCGUCUGCGUACCAAAUGGUACCUCUCAAGGACCGGAACCAAAGUUUCCUUUUUUAUAAUGUUUGUGUCUUUCAUUUACGAUUAACAAAUCUUUAUUAUGUAGAGCCAAAAAUAAUCUCAAAAAUCCUGAAGGCGACAUGUGAACUUUAUCCCGAAGAAGACAAUAUUCUCCUCAAUAAAUGGGUAGUGCACACAAACACUCCCACAUGCAGCUUAGCAUCCCUCGAAAUUUAAGCAGUGGACUAUGAUUGCUCAAAGUUCCCCUACUCGUGGCAUGAAAAAGUCAAGGACAUUAGAUUAAUCACCAAAUCAUAUCUUUAACAUAUUCUUAAUUGAAGAUCAACUCCAUCAAGUAAGGAAUCCUCCUCGUAACCAAGUAAGGAUACUUCCACCAUUGUUCCAAGAUAUUUUCUCUUAAUUAAUAUAUUGGGAAUAUUCUUUCCUAAUUCAUCCAAUGGAGCGUAUUUAUCAAAUAUAGUCAAAAUUAACUCUUAAUUUCAAAAAUGUCACUUUUUUAUAAUUAAAAAAUUCAAAUAUAUCCAAAAUUCCAUUUAAAUAGAAACAAAUACCCACAAAUUUAACAAUACAAUAAAUUAAAGACUUUUUAGCCAAAAUGGUUUGUGACAUUAACGUAACUCCUUAGCCUGAUCCUUAACAAUGAAAAUCAAUAGUAGUGUCCUUGAAUUUGUCUAUCGUGAAUCAUUAUAGUCUUUCUCUAAAUUUGUCCAUCGUGAUCAUUUUAGUAUUUCCGUGAAAAUCUGUCAAUUGCUCUAUUAGUGAGAUAAUGUGGCGCCACAAGGAUCUCACAAAUACAAUUAUAUAAAGACAUGUGGAUUAAUUUUAAAAAUUGUUUUUAUAUUUAAAACUGAAAAUCAUAGUAGUAAGAAAAAUAAAAAUUAUAAUUAAAAAAUAAAAAAAUUAAAAGAAGAAGUCGUCUUCUUCAGUUGGUAGGUAAAAGCCAACAGACAUGCCCAAAUCAAAAACCCUCAACCUACCUAAACCCUUAUUCCGUCUUCCAAACCAAAUUUCUGCAUGCUGAGAUAAAUUUAGUGGUUCUUUCUUAAAAUUUUCCUUUUCCAAUUGGGUUCGAAGAUUAUAGAGAAUUGAUGCAAUUCGGAAAGAGUUUAAGUGUCUAUGAAUUGGUGACCGGGUCGUGGGAAGAAACAAGGCAUUGAAGGCAUGAUUGCAAUUUUGCUGCUCUUACGGUAACCGUGAUGGCACUCAAUGUCGGUGAUGAGGGGGUUGAAGAGGAUAGGGUUAUGGUGGUGGAGUGUAAGAGCGAAGGUGAAGUUGGACCGGAACUUGAGGCGAUGGUGGCUUAAAAGCCUUUAAUUUAUUUGAUUGUUACAUUUGCGGGUAUUUGUGUCUAUUUAAGUGAAAUUUUGGAUAUAUUUGAAUUUUUUUUAUAAAAGUAAUGUUUUUGAAAUUAAGGAUUAAUUUUUGGCUAUAUUUGAUAAAUACUCUCCAAUGGAUGACACACCUUACCUUGGUCAAUUGGACGCCACCAUGUGUAGGGCAAAACUGUAACCCUGGUCGGCCUCCUAUAAAUACCUCCAUCUCCACCAAAUUUUGGUAAGCUUUUUGCUACGUAUACAAGCCCUAAACACUUCACUCUUUUCAAAGAUAUUAACUUAAGCAUGGAAGAUCUAUUGGCCAACCAUCCCUCUCCUCUUACAGAAAAUCUGGUUGUCUCAUUUGAGAUCCCUAAUUCCACCACACCCACCGCACAAUUGCAUCGUGGACACACUCGGCAAACAUCGGUGAGAACAGAGAGCUUGAUUGCGGGAGAUCCAUAACAUACUAAAAACUCAAAUCCUUCUCUCUUGCCAUCGAUCUUCCAGAGGGUCCCAAUUCCCAUUCCAUGUGGUUUACUUUCAUCCUCAUAUGAAAUCUUCUAGUCCCAAUUUUCAUACCCUUUAUUUUACUUUCCUCCACAUAGGAUGAGCAUGAAACAGAAACAACUUCGAAAUUCCCUUUCUUUCCAUUCCAUAUGCUUCAUCUGAAAUUGCCAAGCUCCUGCAAGACACCUCUUGGUCUUGGGUUUGAAAUUUGGUGUGCUUUUGCUGCUCUAUUGUUGACAAAACCAAAAACCUUGCAAACGGAAUUGGCUGACGGAAUCGGGUUUUCGUUAAGGGCACGAGUUGGAAACUUAUUUAUUUCGUGUUGGGCUUUUAACUCAGCCCAUGUGUGUGUUCAAUAUUUAUGAGAUCUCAUAAAGAUUAGUUUUGUCCUUAUGAUUAAAUAUGAAAGGUGAAGCCUUUAUUAUUAAAUAAUAUUAUAACGUAGUUUGUGGUUAAAUUAAACUUAGUACAAGCCAUUUUCAUUAAAGCCCCAUACUUAUAAGACGGGGACGGAAGAAAACAAAACCCUAUAACCCAAGAAACAAGGAAAAAUGAGGGAUGAAAGUUCAAAAUAGAUGGCCUGUUGCAGUCCCCCUCCCAUCCGCAUGCAGUUGGAUGGAAAAGACCAAGAUCCUUCGUUAUCUAGUUGCUCCAUGCCUGUAUUUACCUCAAGCUAGGCCUUCACCAUUAGUCCAAAAGUUGAAUUUUUUUUAUUGAUUUUCUAUGUUAUUUCUAUGAUGAAGUUCCGCUACUACGCGGUUCCCCGCUCUUUCUUCCUCCCCCUUCAUUGGAUCGCUUCCUCGCCACUGAAUAGAGUUGCAUAGUUGUUUAUGUACCAAAAAAAAAUCCAAUCAACCAAAAAGUCUGACCAGCUAGAUAGGCAGUGAAAAUGGCUGAAAUUGCCAUUCCACUAGCACUGGUGCUAAUUGAAAAUUUCAAGAUUCCCAACCUCAAUCUUUCAAGCGAUGCCAGGGCUGAUGUUAAAAGAGCCAAGACAAUUUUGCGGAGGAUGCGAGCCUAUCUGACGGACUGCUCAUCGAAACAGAUCGGUGAAAGCUCCCAAGUGUUUCAAAAUCAUGCAAAAGAGGUCCAAGAUGAAGUUUACGACAUUGAGGAUGCUCUUUCCAUGUUUUUGGUUAAGAUUCCUCAUCACUACCAUAGCAAUUUAAUCUCUAGAUCUGCUCACAACGCUAAACAUUACCCUUCUGAAUGGAUAGCACGCAUACAGUUGUCGCGCAUGCUCAAACAAAUCGAAGAAAGGUUUCCACCAAAUUUAGAUUCACUUAUUGACCGCCUACAAAUUGCCAACACAGGAUCUGAAGAAGAUAAUAAUAAUUUGGCUUAUCACCAAGUUGUGGAAGAAGAUGAAAUUGUGGGGUUUGAGACGGCUAUCACAAAACUCAUCCAACAGUUGAGAGAAGAAGAAUGUAUCAGUCAAGGGCAUCUCAUGAUUUCAAUUGUUGGUCCUGGUGGCUCAGGCAAAACCACCCUAGUAAAAAAUGUUUAUGAGAGAAGAAGCGUGCAGGCUGCCUUUGAUUGCCAUGCUUUUGUUGAAGUGCCGCGCUCCUUUGAAUUGCGAAUGCUCUUGCUAACCAUGCUGAGAAAAUUUGAAGCCCAAAGUAUGCAGGAACCUGUAGCUGAGCAUCAUCAUCAUCCUGAAGAGAAAUUGAGACAAAUUCUGGAGAAAAAGAAGUAUUUGGUGGUUUUGGAUAAUGUUUGGAGCGAACAAGAUUUGACACGUAUAGUAAAUGCUCUGCCAAAAGGUUUGUCUGGGAGUAAAAUAAUCACAACUACUCGGGACUCUAAUAUUGUAGCCUCUUGGCAUACAAGUUCUGACGAUUAUAUCCAUGAUUUGAGUAACGGAUUAUCCUCCAAAGAAGCCAAUAAACUAUUCUGCAAAAAGGCUUUUCACGGAAAUUGGGACAACUGUCCAAAAGAGCUUGUGGAGUUGGCUCAAAUAAUCAUCAGUGAUUGUGGAGGCCUGCCCCUUGCAAUUUCUACAUUCGGUACUUUCCUAGCUUGGCAGAAGCCACGGAAUUUUGUGAAGUGGAAGAAGUUCCAUGAUAGCUUUGGCUCCAAUCUUCAGAUUGUUAGUCAAGCUUGGGAGCCAAGUUAUAGGGACCUGCCAUACCAUCUCAAAAGUUGUUUGUUGUACUUCAGCAUGUUUCCAGAAGACAACUCUAUCAAGCGUGAGAGGCUAAUUCGCUUGUGGGUAGCCGAAGGAUUUGUGAAGCAAGGAGGGAGAGCCACCAUGGAGGAGGUUGCAGAUGGUUAUCUAAAUCAACUCAUCGGUAGAAAGUUGGUUGAUGUGAGUUCAAGAGAGAUCGAUGGACAAGUAAGGAGUUGUCGUGUUUCCAACCUCGUUUGCAAGUUCAUCAUGUCAAAAGUGGAGGGUUUUGUCACUGUGUUGGAAUCAAGCAACACUCGGGCAAGUACUAGCAGUACUAAUUCAGGUGAGAAAAUCCGACGCCUUUCUGCACAUUAUGUUUCUAUAAAAGAUUUAUUAAGAAGAGGUGGAGAAUUGAAUCAAACACGUACCUUACUAGUGUUUGGCCCUUCCCAGCAGGCUCAAUGUGAUGAGGUUGGAAGGGUACUUAAUACUCUUAAAUAUUUAAGGGUUUUAGAUUUGAAAGGCAUUCCUUUAGAGGACUUUCCAAAAUCUAUUUCUGGUCUCAUUCUCUUAAAGUACAUAAGUAUGAGGAAAACCAAAAUCAAAAGAGUCCCAAGUUCCAUAAACCGGCUUGCUCAUUUGGAAACUUUAGAUCUUAAGCACACCCAGGUGACCAAAUUACCAGAAGAGAUUUAUAAGCUCUACAAUAUGCGCCAUCUUUUAGUGAGUCGUGGCUGUGAUGGUGAUGAUGAUGGACCCGCUCAAGGAGUAGAGAUUUCUGCAGGCAACAUUGGAGCUUUAUCCGAAUUACAAAAGUUGUCACUGAUUAAGGUGGGAAACAACAGAACAAUACUAAAAGCCUUAGCAGAACUAACUGGUCUCAGAAAGUUGGGCUUGACAGAUCUCAUAAUUGAACAUGGAACAGAGUUGUGUUGCGCUAUUGAGAAAAUGGGAAGUCUUUCAACACUUGAAUUGAGAUCAACAAACGAGGAGGAAUAUCUUGAGUUGGAUCAUCAUAUGGAAUCCCCUCCUCGGUCUCUAGAACGCCUCAGUUUGAAAGGGAGGCUAAGAUGUUUGCCGCAAUGGGUUCCCAUGCUUGAUAGUGUAGUGAAGAUUUCCCUAAUGGGGUCAAAACUUGAUGCUGAUGCCAACCCACUCAAGCCCCUUCAAGCAUUGCCGAAUAUGAUGGAGCUUCAUUUGGUUUGCUAUUAUACCGGACAAGUGUUAGAAUUUGAGGCUAAAACGUUCAUGAAGCUAAAGAUAUUAAGUAUCAAACAAUUUGAUCAACUACAUACCAUGAAAGUUGAGUCUGGAGCAAUGCCUAAUCUUAAGAAGGUAACCCUGUCCAAUUGUAAGAGUUUGAAUUUACCUCCACUCGGCAUGGAGGGUCUACGGGAACUCGAGGAACUGUUUCUCCAUGACAUGCCCACUGUACUCAUUGCCAAGCUUCAAAGGGAUGGUGAAGAUCGUCAGGCGGUUGAGCAUAUUCCAGUCAUCCAUUCUUUUAAUCUCAGGACUGGAUUCCAAAAUCUUUCUCAAGUGAGUAAGCAUUCAAUUUCUUUAUUUGGUGAUCAAUAUUUUUCAGCAACUUCUCGAAAAUUGUAGUUUGCAUUUUUGACCCUCUUGUUUAUUCUCUAGGCAACAGCGCGGGGGUGAGAAGGGAGGAGAAACUGAAGGCGGCAAUGGCUCGAAAAACUUCAACAAAGUGAAGGACACAAGCCGGCGGAGCGAGUCCACUGCCAUUACUCUUUCAGAUGCUUAUGGUUUUUACCAUAGUAUUUCUUAAAAUAAUGUGUGGAUAAAGCUGAGCUAUAUUGACAUAUUUGUCAGCUGUGUUCGGCUUUAUCUUACACAAUGCAUCAAACAUACUUGACACUUUUUGAUGCAAAAACUAAUUACUUGUUUUGCUUAGUUUGUAAUUAUUUUCAAAUGUUAAAUGUGAGGUGUAUGAGCAUGUACCAUUAAACAUUCAUAAAUAUAUAUGCUUUCAAAGUUUCAAACUCUCGUGGCUUUCUUCAAUCAAAAGAGUAAGGCAUACAUACAAGUAGGUAGACUGAAAAAGAUUAGGUAUAAUAUAUCUUCCAUCAAUGCCUCAGUGUGUUUGCCGUCGUUGAGAGAAAUAGCUAGCUUAAAAAUUCAAAGGUUCCGUAUUUUUUAGUCUUUCACACAUCUUUGUUUCAUUAUGUUCAUUGUAUCUGUUUGAUUUGUUCAAUCUGCUUAUAAAAAUAAAAACAGUGUGUGUGAUACUAAAAAUAGUAGGUAAAAAUCAGCUCCAUAUAUAAUAUAUUGGUUAAUAAAAGAAAUCUGAUAAGGAAAUCCAACCUAUCUAAUUAAUUCGGUGGACUGUUGAUGAAAAGAUGUGAUAGUUUUUCGUUUUUUCGGCAACUUCUUUUGAGUAUGGACAAGUCUACAUUUUCCAAGUUCUAGGGCCAAACUAGCUAGCUAGGGAGGGAUCAUGAACAAGUCAAUAUAUUAGAACAUAGUUGUAGUUGUGUUGUGGAUUGACAAAAUGGAGAGAUCAACACUUGAACUGAGAUCAACAACGAGGAGGAAUAUCUUGAUUUGAAUAACGACUUGGGGUUGCAUGUGGCUUCUAGAGUGCCUAUACCAAAUUUUUGUUUAGUAGGUUGAUACCUCCAUAUAUUUAUAUAGUAGUCUGAAUACCAAAUUUUUUUAAUAACUAGGUUGAGAGCUUCAUAGGAUAUACAUUACUAUAAAUAUAUGGAGGUCUCAACCUACUAAACAAAAAUUUGGUAUUGGCACUCUAGAAGACACAUGCAACCCUCAAAUUGUAAUUAUGUAUCUUUUACGCUUUGAGAAAGGCCGAGUCCGAGAUGAUUUUUUAUUGAGCGUGUCAAUUACAAUUUCUUAUUGGCUGCUUGAACUUUUCAUAAAAUUUGAUGAAGGGAAAAUUAUCUCUCCCAUAAUCUGAAAAAAGUUGGUGUUCAUGCGCCCUUUCAGGCUAUUGGGCGGACUCCUUUUUUUAAUAUAACAGUACAUUAACAUAUUAAGGAGAUAAGAGAAUAAAUUGGUUGCAAACUUGUUACUCAUGAUAUUCAAAUUUAAAACAAUUUACUUACAAAUGAAAAAAAAAAAAAUAGUACUGGGUCGUAUAAUGGCUAUUUUGCUUUCAAUAGUCGGAAACCAAGUUCUAAUGUCAUUCGAGAGAACUUUCUUUCAAAUAUUCAGAGAUUGGCUUGUCAGUUUCAGAUUAUUUAUUUCAGCUAUAUAUAUUAGGAGGCAAAUUUAUUGCUGCUUACAAAGAUUGGUCAAUGUUCCUCGAAUAUUCACUGUUGGCUCCAAUCUCUUCCUUGAAAUUCUCACUUGUCAUGGCUUUGUUUGUUUUUUUGUUUUGUUUUUUGUUUUUUUUCAAAAUAGAGGACCAAAUGGUUUUGUCACAGGAGUCCCCCUUUUGAGAAUCAGAAAGACCACUCCUCAUGGGCACCAUCAUCAGGUGAUUUAUCAGCGCCAUGAGUUGAACUCAAGAUGUGCUAUGUGAAAUACGGGUUUAAAAUUUGUUUGAACCAUCUAGUGAUUUGGUUUUUGUUUACCUUAUUUUUUCUGUAAUUUUUCUUUUUAUUAUAUAAAAAGCUUUUCUUAUUUAAAACAUACGAAUGGCAUUUCAAGAUUAAAAGAGAAAAAUUAAUAAAACAAAAAGUCGACACCAGUACUACUGUUUCCACUUGUAAAUUAAAAGAUCUCAUCUACAAUUUUCAUGAAUGAGGAACAGCUUAAUACAAGCAGGCUAAAUAAAUAAAUAAAAAUCAAGUCAAAAUGGAUGGCCUGUUGUAACCUACGCCUUCCAUUAGGAACAAAGACCAAGACUUUUCUCAAUCUAGUUCUGUCACAUACCUUUCACAAUCAAGUCAAAAUGUGUGAAUAUCAAGUAACUAGGUUGAGAGCUUCAUAUGAUAUUACUUUAAGUCUAAAGAAGGAUUUCAAUUGCACUAUUCAAAUGAACAGUGUUUGGAUUCGAAUUUUAGUUUAAUUAUGGCCAUGCCACUGCUUUACAGAGUUGCCUUUGUAGUUUGGACCCGAUUUUUGCUCUAUUUACGGCUAUGCCAGUGCUUUAAUGAGUGUUCGUUGUGGAAGGUUUGGGUUCGAGAGGCCAUGCCGCCUCUAGGAUAGAGAGAGAGGGAGGAGAGGGAGGCCAUGCUGAUGGAGAUAAAGAUAGAGAUAGAGAUAGGAGAGGGAGACAGAGACAGAGCGAAAGAGAGAGAAGGAAAUGGAAGAGUGGGGAUCUUAGUGCCAUUGCUGCAUAUCCUUGAUUUCAUGAGUGGGAGAGGGGGUACAUUCAGAGAAAAGCAUGGGGGUGUCGGCCGAGCUCAGGUACAAUUGUUGUUUUCUGUGGGUGGACAUGUUGAUGGCAGUGUUGACGGAGUAUCUAUCGAAGUGAGUCGACGAAAUGCUCGACUCCGGAAUGUUUGAAGAGUUGGCCGAGUUCAGCACUCAGCAGCCAGAGCAGCGACAUCUCUCUUCCUCAUUGCAAAAUGGGUGUUUUCAGGGUGAGCCGCAAUGCUCUUAAUUUCAAAUAAUGGGUUUGUGUUACUGUGCAGAUUUGGCUAACUUCACAUUUAGUUUCUUGGAAUUGUUCUUUAUUUUUGUUGACCCUAAACACUACCAAACCUACGUGGCGCGCAGGCCGAAUAACUAAUGAGCUAACUAUGUCCUUCGGUUGUAUGCAGGGCGUGCCAACUCGUCGGCCGAGCUCGACCGAAGAGUAAAAUGUGUUGAUGUUGCGUUGACCGCGCGGUUGACUUCUCGAUCUCACGACUACGGCCGAGGAAGGAACACUCUUGACCUUCAGGUUCUAGAGCAUGAAUACAAGGUUGCUAGUUUUGCGAAGUUCACGGAUAGUCGGCGCCAGGCUCGGUCUCAGUUAUAUUAGUCGUGAGAAUAUAUCUACACCGAACCGGUACCAGACUGUACAGACACAAAUACUCGAAAGAGAUAAAUGUCUUGAUGGUGAAUGUAGUUGGGCUAUCGCCAUAUUGAACUCUAAAAUGUACUUAUGAGUAUCCAAUCAUAAAACAACUCGGCGUUCAACGAGCUGAGCCCAGUAAUCUGUAACACCUCACUUCGCCGAGAAGGCUAAUGAGAUGACCUAUGCCGAUAAGAAUUCAGAAACCUUUCUCGACCGAGACUUGGGUAGAUAACCAAUCGGCCUUGACGCAGUGUUAUUUAUCCAAACUGAAGGUGCUUCGCGGUCGACUGAUUCUACAGCAACAACAUUGUUUAUCCAAACUGAAAAUGUUCGCCAGUUGCCUCCAUAGUGUUGUUUAUCCAAACUGAAGGUGUGUCGGCGAAAAAGAAAGUAAAAAAUCUUAAAGUUGUUGAGAGGUUUCGCGUAGAGCGAUGGUUUGCACAGGGCAGUUUGUGUGUUGAAUUGGAGGGGGUUGCAUGUUGCAUGGAGUCUUGUAUUUAUAGUAUUCAUAUUUUCUGCUUGGCAAGGUCUGAUAAUAUUGUAGAGUCUAGCUGUAACUCAAACUCGCGGAACAAAAAUUGAUCCGUGUCAGAGGCCUAUCCUUCAGAUUGCUAUUCGUGGUUUUAAACCUAUCUAGGCUUCUAGGCUUAUCACAUCAUAAUCAGAACUCCCAUCCAUGCCUUGCUUUAUCCCAUUAAAACUCCCAAUGCAACUAUAAAACUUUCUUUUCCAUGAUAUCUGUUAAGGUACAACUACGCAUGUAGUGUGAAUUGCAAUAUGUCACUAUAAUCCAACUUUUGUACGACAAUAGUCUUCAAUCUCAUCCAUAUCUCCUUAUAGUCCUAUCUGACCAACAUUUAAUUUGCACGCAAAUUGUUGCUUAACCAGAUAAGAGUCUCAAAGUUUUGAGAUAUAGUUUGCAUCCCAUUUAUCUUAUAUAAAAACAAUUCUUUAUUAAAAGAUAAUUAUUAUGAUAAAACCAUAAUAAUAUCUUUUAAUAACAAAAUUAUCUUCAUCUUUCCAUCCGCCGAUCUAGAACUAUGCUCAACCAACGACUUUGAUUGCUCGGGCCAAUAGUAUAAAAUCGGGUCCAAACAAUUUUAUUUUAUUUUGCAAUUAUAUAUUUUUAAUGCUUUUAUGUUUGUCUUUCCAUGCUGGGAAAUUGGAAACCUCUGGAAAUAAUAUAGUUCUUGAGCUAAUUUGAAGAUUUUGUGUUGAAUAUUUUGAUUCAUUUUUUUCUAUUUGCACUUAGAAAAACAGAGGAUUAUGGUUACUUAUUGUGCUAUGAAGCUUCUGUUUUUUCCUUUUAUGCCCAAGAUUGAAUUUGUUCUCUCUGCUGUUGAAAAGUAGAACUCUCUCUAUCUCAAAAAAAUAUGAUCCAGUGUGAAGUUUGGUUGUCUCUCUCUCCAGAAACUUAUAUUCCAUAUUGCACCCAUCAACUCUAAUCAUUCCUUGAUCCAGUGUAAUUUUUACGAUAUGUUUAACCUUAGACUUCUUUUCAUGCCUGUCCUCCCUCUAAAUCAACUGAGGAUUCAAAUCCAGCGGGUCCAGCUCAAGAUAUAGAUAAAACAAUUCCAACUCCUAAAAAGGUGUAAUUUGUUAAUCCCCUUUCCUUGGAGUUAAUUUUUAGUGAUGUGUUUUUAAUAGAAUUGCAUAUUUGAGUAGUGAGUUUUUUCAAGGGAACUUUAACAAAAACUUCUGGUACUGUUCACUUUAACGAAUAACCACAUUUUACACUAAAAAGUUAAUCCUGAUACUAUUCACUUUACCCUUUAUUUUGUCCUUAUCUUUAAAACUCAAUUUUCAAGUCCCUUUCUUUAGUUUUCCUUUUUUUCAAUGGUGUUAUUUUUUUAACAAUUUAUAAUACUAUAUGUAAAAUUUAGUUAGAAUUUUUGACACACCCCGACUCGAAUCAGGGCAUGCUGGUCGUUACGUGAGGGUGACGUAGCCAUAUGCACAGUGCGGAAGCAAUAAUGAUGAUAGAGAUACGAAUAAAUAAAAGCCAAAUUCAUAAGAGUAAUAGCUAAGGUAAGUGCUAAUAAAUGUGUGAAUACACAAUCAGAGCAUAAGUAGCCUAAGUUCAGUCCAGAAAACAAAUACUAAUUAAACGACACCCGAAUAUGCCCUACAUUUGUGAUAGUCUGUCAGAACCUCCAGUCAAUCCUCGUGAGCCACCAACAAACAAGCUUAUCUAAAACUUGGUGGGGCGCAAAAUAUAAAGUAUGAGUGGGCAAAAACAAAGUUUUUCAAAACCAUUUCAUUUAUCAAAUGCUCUAACCUCUCGCCGUAAAACAUGUAUAAUUUUCCCAGAAAUAGAAUAUAUAUAUAUAUAUAUAUAUAUAUAUAUAUUCAAAUCAUGCUUCACUUAACCACAAACAUAAGUAUGUCAUGCCAAAUAUAGAACAUAAUAAGUAACUCAGGUGAAGAUAAGUUCAUAGAAAUAACAUAUUAGUCGGAACCCCUGCAGAGGUCUAUGCGGCUGAAUUCAUGGCUCAUCAAUCAAUCUAGCCAGAGUCACCGCACGCGACCUAUACGGCACUGCACUGCACACGAGUCGGAACCACUAUAAUGGUCUGUACGACAAAACUGGGUGUAAUAUAGUUAUGUUCAAUGCUACGCUCUCGUAUAAGCUGUGUGAUAAAUCGUUGGUCGCCUACGAGUUGGAACCACCUAUAGUGGUAUGUACGACAAGAUUGUGCACUUAAAUGGGAUCCAAUGUGAGCAUAUGGUGCGGGAAAUGUCAUUAUAAACAGGCCUGUACCAAAUUUCUGGCUAAUCACAAUCACCCGGGGUGCAGGUUUAUGAGCUCUCAAUCACAUUUCACAUUAUCACUAUCUCAUACAACAAACCAUAACUCACCUGGUACCUACCUGAGCGUCCACAUCACUAAUUCACAUUUAUGCAUACAAUUCUAACUCAUGGUUUAAACAUAAUUCAAUAGGCAUGGCAUUUUCAAAGCAUAACUCAUUUAAAUGCAUUUUCUGGGAAAAAUACCAAGCAUAUACAUAUAUACUGAAAACCAAAAGCCCACUCACUGGUAUGUUGAAGGGUCGUAGCCCCUGUGUCGCCCUUGACUGCGCUUGUCCUCGGGAUAGGUCUCACCCAUGCGCGAAAUACCUGAAUAAACGUCAUUUAAAGCACAUAACCAAUACUGGCUAAUAACUUCUCAUACAUUGCUCAAAUGAGGUAUAUAAAUAUACCAUCGUGACCUACACAACUCCACGAACAUGCCCAAAUUUUUAAAAUAAUUUUUAGAGUCCUCAUGCGUCGGCAAGGGCACGGCCCUACACGCAGGCACGCGCAGGGACCCUAACGGAAUCCCUUAACCCCGUUAGGAAUAUUUCGUUAAAAAGUAACAAAAACCUUUAAAACUAACCAACACCAUUAGGAAUAUUUCGUCAAAUUUGAUAGAAUAUUCUGUCAUCCCCUACCUUCAAACUCCGGCGAUCGUCACCGUCGCCAGAAACUGGAAAAACUUUAAAACCUUGUAUCUCGGUCAUUUCUUAACCAAAACUUAUGAAAUUGGUCUCAAUUUAAAGCUUAUAACCAGAAGAACACAUCCUUACCAAUUUCAAGGCUUGAAAUCCACGAUAACUCUCCACAGAGAGCUCGAUAAUUCCGGCCAAAUUUGAAACUCUUCAAACUCGACUUCCCGACGUCCAAUUUGCUUGGUUUUUCUCUUUGAGCUUCGUAAGGAUGUUUUAAAGCUUCCUAUAAGCUUCAAAUCUCCUGAAACAUCCAUAAUUACGACCACAUGAACAGUGCAUCAAAAUUGAGAUUCUGAGUUCCCGGGUUUUCGAGGGUUUCACUUACAAAAAAUGGUAUGGAUAAGCUCAUGGACUUGCAAGGAACACAAAGAUCGCUUCCCCAGCUCCGAUCCACGAUUGGAAGUGAAGGUUUGAAGGUUGUCCGUACAGGUUGUACGGAAAUGGUGAAAAUCCGAGAGAGGGAGGAGAGAGAUAAGUCAACGGGAGGUGUGUGUGUGUGUGUGUGUGAGUGUGUGGUCCAGUUUUGGGUCACUAAUCACAACUAAAAUUACUAACUUUAAGUUCCAAAAACUUAGGAACUAACCCAUUUAGUUUAAACCCAACCUUAAGCCACAACACCACAUAAACAUGCUCAAUGUCCAAGGGCAAUUUAGACAUUUUACACCAUCGAUAACAAUAAUUCGGGAUGGGCUGUGACAAUUUUUUUAAACAACUAUAAUAUUGUUUGAUUUCAAUUUGUAAUUACCAUUUUUUGUUAAAUUUAAGCUUAAUUAUGUUAGUAAAUCUUUAUACCUUAUGUCCAAAUACGUAUACAAUAUAGUAUAUGAUACAUAUACAGUACUAUAUAUGUAUAGUUUUUAUAAUGUUACUGAGCAUUUUCAAUAUAUGCUAUGUUGUGUGUAGGGAGUGAAAAGUGCAUUCUUCACAAAGGCAAAAUAGAGAACAUUUUUUUUUUUUUGACAAAGGUAAACAAUUCCAUUACCAACAACCCAAAUACACAACAAAGGUCCAAAGACAAAUAGAGAACAUAUUAUAUUUCAUAUGAAAAGAAGAGGUUAGUUUGAUUGUCAUUGCUUUUUUCAUAUGGUUUAACUUCUAAGUUACUUGGCUUACGUCUAAUUUAAUUGUUUGCUUGCCCAAGUUAAAGUCAUUCGUUUUAUUAAUGCUGGUGAACAAAAUCAACCUGAGUUAAUGCUAAUACAAUAUCAUAAUUUCCAUUAGUCUUGAUUGUCUUAACCCUUUCUUUUCCGUUUUUACCAAAAUUUCAUAAAAUUUUUGCACAAGUAUUUUUUUAUAGAAAUUGAGUUGAUUUACUAUUUUACUGUCUCCUGGUAGAUUUUUCUUAUUCGUUGUUCAAAAUUAGUAUUGCAUUUUUUAAGUGGUGGAACAUACCCAAAUUAAACCUAUAAUAGCACCAAAUUAAACUUAUAUUAAAGUGUUCUUCAGCUGCAAAUGUGGGCGUGGCCAUAUUUCAAGAUAUGUUCCCACCCCAUCCCUUGGUGCAAACAAAUUUAUAUUAAUACAAAAAAAAAAUGUUGUUUGUCUCAAAAGAAAAAAGAUGAGAUAUUUUAACAUUUUUCAACUUUUAGAAGACAAAAACUAACAAAAAUUGGUCUAGAACAAAGGAUUUACAUUAGUAUAUCCAUAAUUGAAGGAUUUAAGCCCUUUACAUACAUUGAUUUUUCUACAAAGACUUGGUUCAUAUGGCAGCUAAACAAUAUGUGAAGGUUGAAUAGUUGACUUAGUUGACUUGCACGCAGGCGAGAAUAUAAUGUAUUAAAUUAGAAUAGAAUUACCCUGAUAACCCUAAGUUUUAUACAAACAUUUAAAGGGUUAAAUUGGAAUGCACCCUGCAGAAACUUCAAAGAAAUAAAGUUUAUCUAGAAAGAAAAGGAUGUGUGUACCUAACGGAGUAAAAAUAUGAUGACGGUGUUCAAGCUAAUUUGGAUUAUAUUUGCUUUCUAUAUUGCAUUUGCUUUCUCAAAUUGAGAGUUAUUAUAAUCUAAAUAGAGAUGACUUGAAUGGCCAUUUUUUUUAAGGUUGAGUCGGAAAUUCGGAGUAUAUAAUUUCAAAAUGUGCUAAACAGGGUGCUUCUUUUCUAUUGAUGGACCUUCUUUAUUUGAAGAUGGUUAUACUUGCAGACUAAAUAAAUAAAUAAAAACAAGUCAAAAUGGAUGACCCAUUAUAACCUAUGCCUCCCAUUGGGAACAAAGACCAAGACCUUUCACAAUCUAGUUAUGUCGCACACUAUGUUGGUAGGGCAAAUUUUAGUGUGGUGGUCAUAUAGUAUGUUGUCAAGUCUUAAAUAUCAAGUUAGAUUAAAAGUUAGCAUAUUACAUUUUUCCUCCAAACCAUAUGAUCAGCAGUUUUGGUUUCUGAAGCGAUUUCAGAUCCUAAAUUUUAUUAAAUACAACAAGAAUUGUUACAAGGUUAAAGACACCAAAAAUCCAAUUUUUAAAAGCGAUUAUAAUCAUGGUGGCACAUUUAGUGGUGCAAUUUACGUUAAGUUGUAGUGAAUUCAUGACAUGGAUUGAGGAGGCUCCUUCAUGGCAAAUGACAAUUUCAAAGGCUGAGCUGGAAAUUCGGAGUAUAUAAUUUCAGAAGGUGGUAAACAGAGAGCUUCUUUUCUGAUGAUGGACCUUCUUUAUUUGAAGUUGGUUAUACUUGCUGACUAAAUAAAUAUAUAAAAACAAGUCAAAAUGGAUGGCCCAUUGUAACCUACACCGCCUCCCAUUGGGAACAAAGACCAAGACCUUUCACAAUCUAGUUCUGUUACAGUAGGGCAAAUUUUAAUGUGGUGGUCAUAUAGUAUGUUGUCAAGUCUAAAAUAUCAAGUUAGAUUAAAAGUUAGCAUAUUACAUUUUCCUCCAAAUCGUGUGAUCAACAGUUUUGGUUUCUGAAGCGAUUUCAGAUCCUAAAUUUUAUUAAAUACAAUAAGAAUUGUUAGAAGGUUAAAGACACCAGAAAUCCAAUUUUUAAAAGCUAUUAUAAUCAUGGUGGUACAUUUAGUGGUUCAAUUUGCGUUAAGCUGUAGUGAAUUCGUGGCUUGGAUUGAGAAUGCUCCUUCAUGACUAAUGGCAAUUUUGGAGGUUGAGUCGGAAAUUCGGAGUAUAUAAUUUCAGAAGGUGGUAAACAGGGAGUUUGUUUUUUGUUGAUGGACUCUUUAUUUGAAGAUGGUUAUACUAGACGGGUGUUUUUGAAGUCUUUGUAUGCCAUUGCUUUAUUUUCCAAUCAAUCCAUCCCAAAUGUGUAAUGCUUUAUUAAUGUGGAAUGAAAUUCAUCGAUGUUGAUAAAAUAAAAAGAGACCAGAAAGAACAAAAAAUUGCUAUAAAACAAUAUAUAUGUUACAUACUGGGGAUCCGCACAAGUGGAGCUACUUAUCCGUAUGUGCUUUAGCUUCAUGUUCCAUUCAAAGGAAUUGGGAGUGAAAAAUGCCUGAAUUAUUUUCUGUUCCCUUGGCAGUGGAACUAGUUGAGAAUUACUUAACCCACAUAUCCAAUUUUUCAAAGAGAUUCUAAUCAUGAUGUUUUAAAGAGCCCAGGAUAUGCUUGGGAAGGAUAAAAAUAAAAUCAUGAAAGUCUACCUAAGUAAGGGACUACUCAUCAUCAGAAGCCCGGAUCACUGAGAUUCAAGAUAAAGAUUACUAUAGCGAAAAUGCUCUGGACAAGUUCAUAGCUUUAGAAAUUUAUUCAAGCCAUGGUGUUAUUUGUAGUAAUUUCAAAUAACGUAAUUUCUCUAGCCCACCUCCUUUUAUCCCUCCCGCUGUAACAUUUUUUUUGUUGGAUUUUUUCAUAAUGUGUUACCAAUCCAAUUCUCAACAAACAAUAAGAAAGUAUAUGUGAGGAUGUGAAUGUAAAAGAGUAUCACAUCAGUGAAAAGAGAAACUUUGCAAGAGCUUAUAAAAGGUUAGACUAUUCUUCAUAUUACCAAUUAGUUUUAUGGUGGAACCUCAAUUUUCUUCAUGGUAUUAGAGCAAGUUGGCCCACGUAUGAUGCCCAAUAGCCACACGUGUUAUACGUCACUCAAUUCGUGUUGUCCACGUGUUUGCCACACGUUAGGGGAAGUGUAAGAUUGUGAAGGUAAAACUAUCACACCUGAAAGAAAACCCUUGGAAAGGCUUUAUAAAGAUAUACCUUGAGUCUAUCUAUGAAAUUUGCGUGGGCAGACCUCCAAUCUGAACUGGCCCUCUCAGACCCAAAUUUUGCAUGGCUGUAGCCUAUAUAGCAAACAUUUUUAUUUCUCAUCAACUUAUUCUGAAUGGCUAGUUUCUAUUCUAUGGAAUUUUUAGGAAGAAAGAUUCAUGGAUGCAUGGCUAGUUUCUCUUCUUUGGAAUCCUUGAUUGACGUAGGCCAAAUUUCUCAAGGGACGCCACUUGAGAAAAUGCCAUGGUCCUCGUGCUUGAAACUGUAGUUUGUCAUACAAACUUAAAGAGUUAGACGGAAGAAAGUGAAACCUUAUAACCAUAAGCCAAGAAACAAAGAAAAAUUGAGGAUGAAUGUUCAAAAUGGGUGGACUGUUGUAGCCGCCCUCCCAUCCGCAUGCAAUUGGAUUGGAAAAACCUAGACCUUUCGUUAUCUAGUUGCUCGAUACAUGCAUUUACCAAGACCCUUCGUUACAACAACAACAACAACAAAGCCUUUUCCCACUAAGUGGGGUCGGCUAUGUGAAUCCUAAAACGUCAUUGCGCUCGGUUUUGUGUCAUGUCCUCCGUUAGAUCCAAGUACUCUAAGUCUUUUCUUAGGGUCUCUUCCAAAGUUUUCCUAGGUCUUCCUCUACCCCUUCGGCCCUGAACCUCUGUCCCGUAGUCACAUCUUCGAACUAGAGCGUCAAUAGGCCUUCUUUGCACAUGUCCAACCCACUCAUUCCUAAUCUUAUCCUUUCUCGGGAGUCCACACCUCCAACGAAGCAUCCUCAUCUCCGCUACACCCAAUUUGUGUACGUGUUGAUGUUUCACCGCCCAACAUUCUAUACUAUACAGCAUUGCUGACCUUAUUGCCGUCCUAUAAAAUUUUCCCUUGAGCUUCAGUGGCAUACGACGGUCACACAACAUGCCGGAUGCACUCUUCCACUUCAUCCAUCCCGCUUGUAUUCCAUAUAUUCUGUCUUUGAUCAGCUUAGGCGAAGACCUUUAGAUUCUAACACUUCUCUUCAAAGGUUAAGCUUCGCAUUUACGCCUUCCUGAGUUUCAUCUAUCAACCAUAUAUCGUCUGCGAAAAGCAUACACCAAGAAAUAACAUCUUGAAUAUGUCUUGUCAACUCAUCCAUUACCAAUGCAAAAAGGUAAGGACUUAAGGAUUGUUGAUGCACAAAAUCAGUAAGGACUUUGGUACAACAGAAAGUAUUAAGUUUGUGACAUUCGCUAGAUUGCUCUGGUCAUUAGUGUGGAUAAGUAUGUAAAAGGAUAGAGACAGGAGAGCAAACACAAGAUGUACGUGGUUCACCCAGAUUGGCUACGUCCACGGAGUAGAGGAGUUCUCAUUAAUUGUGAAGGGUUUACACAAGUACAUAGGUUCAAGCUCUCUUUUAGUGGGUAUGAGUGAAUGAUUUAGUAUAAAUGGCAUUAGGAAAUAUUUUGGGAGAAUGAUCUCCUUUUAUAGAAGAGAGUUUCUAGCCUUGUUCUGACAUUGACAUGUGUCGUGUUGUGAUUGGCUUCCAAUGUUGACAUAUGUCGCGCUAUGAUUGGCUUCUGAUGUCGACAUGUGUCGCUCUGUGAUUGGCCUCCUGGUUGGAGGAGAAGCUGCUCGGUUGAGGACUUGCAAGAUCCAAGCCGUUAAGUAAUCACGAAACUUCUAAGUACCGAAGUGUGGUAUCGUCUUCAUUUACCUUAUCUGUCUCAUAGGUAGAUGUGGCAUCUUCUCUAGAAGUACUCUUCCUCCAUCCAGGGGUGGUAUCUUUAACUGGUGGAGAUGCACAAGGUAAUGUAUUAAUUUCACUUGAAGCUUACUUGUAGUUUUAGGCUUGGUCAAGCGCGAUACAAACCAUGUAGUAGGAGUACCCCAAGUUGCCGAGCUAAGGGAUCUGUUGAAAGAGGUGACAGACAAGGUAAGCAAUCAGAGCUCCAAGCAAUCAGUCCCAGAUCAGAAGUUUGAUUUCGAGUUCCGGCUGAUUGUUCUCAUUCUCCUUAUCUUGUAGGCAGCAUGAAGGAUAAAAAGAAGAAAAGGAGAAGAGAUGAUAUGAGAUACUUUUUCUUUUGAAGAAGUAACUUUCCACAGGCUUAUUCUUGAACUGGGCUGGAGGGUUUUCUGGUUACCUCCAGAGUAUAAGACCGACUGAAGAAUUUGAGGGUCAAAACAAGUCCAUCAAAUCUAGAGUACGGUCGACCCUGCUGAUAUGUGAUACUUUUGCUGUUGACAAAGUAAUGGAAGUAUCGGCACAUGUUAUGUUACGCUUGUCUUCAUAUGCUUCCUUGUAUCCUUCUCACUUGCCCUAUCUGUUCCUCAGGCAGAUGUGGUAUCUUCUCUAGAAGCAUAAGAUGUUGAAGAUGAGUACUCGAGAGCAAUGCCAGGUAAGUAAUCAGGUAAGGGGUUCCAGGCAGUUAGUUCCUGACUGGAAGCUUGAUUCCAAUUGCUGACUGAUUGCUCUUUUGCUCCUUGUCUUGCAGGUAAGAAUAAGGCCAAAGGAAAAGACAGGGAAAAAGCAUGAUAUGGGAUACUUUUGCUUUUAACCCUAAUGAUAUGAGAUAUUCUUGCUCUGGUGUAGCUUGUUUGCAGAGGUAUGAUCGGGGGGAAAGAAAGCUGAGUAUUUUGAGAGGCUUCGUUUGGAGUGCCCUCUCAGAUAUGAGGAAGGGUUGAUCAUUUUUGUAGGUCUGCCUGUCCGUUGAGGAUGGAGGUCGACAUAUAUAGGAGUCUCCCUAACAACAAAUAGUAAUGUUAUUCUUUUACCCUUCUUGGUCAUAACACUGUAGUAUGAGCUACCAACUUCACAUGUUUUAACUCUGUCAGAGCACUUUGAAAAAGUGGUCUGUGGUAUCUGGAAAGCUGAUGUUGCGUAUGAAGAUUACAGACAAGCUUUAUCCAAUGAGAUCUGGCUCUCGAAGUUGAGAAAGCGAUGCUUCUUCGAUUUUCGAACAAGCGAUCCUAUCGGGGAUCUGGCUCUCGAGAUUCGGAGAACAGUGCCUCUUUGAUUUUUGAGAAAGCAAUCCUACUGGGAGCCUAGCUCUUGAAAUUCGGAGAGCGGUGUCUCUUCAAUUUUUUAGAAAGUAAUCCUGUUGGGAGUCGGGCUCUCGAGAUUUGGAGGGCGGUGCCUUUUUUAUUUUGGAGCAAGCAAUCUUGUUGGGAGUGUUUUUUUGAAUGUGAGUAAAGGUUGGGCAUUUUUGCUAGUCUACCUCGCCACGGAGUACAGAGGUUGACACACAGGGACUUUCCAAUUAUCCAGCAGUGGUGAUGUUCCUUUACCCUAAUGGGUAAUAAUAUGGUAGCUAAACCUUCAAAAUUUAUGUGUCUAAACUUUGUUAGUGCUGUUUCUUUGCUAUUCUUUUACCCUUCUUGGUUAUAGCGAUGUACUGGGAGCUGCAAGCUUCACGUGUCUAAACUUUGUCAAAGAUCUUUGGCAAAAUUAUCUGUGGCAUCCAUGAGCUGAUGUUGCGUGUGGAAAGUUGAUGAUUGAACAGUAAGAUUCACGUGCUUUCUACUUCACCAGAAAUCUUCGACAGAUUGUCCGUAAUUUCUGCAAAGUUGAAUGUGCAUGUGACAGGUGCUGACAAGGCUGAGAAAGCUGGUGCCUCUUCGAUUUCUUAGAUCGGCCAUCGUGGUCUCUGAGCAGCCCAGCUUUUGAGAAAGCAAGCGCCUCUUCGAUUUUUGAGAUCAGCUCUCGUGGUCUUUGAGCAGCCCAACUUUUGAGAAAGCAAACCCCUUUUCGAUCUCUGAGAUCGGCCCUCGUGGUCUCUGAGCAGCCCAGCUUUUGAGAAAGCAAACGCCUAUUCGAUUUCUGAGCAGGCACCUUUUCGAUUUCUGAAGCUCCGUCGAAUGCAGAUUUUUAUAGAGGUUGACAUUAAAUUCCAAAGCACACUUGAAUCUCCACUAGUAGAAGCUCCAUUCUUGCACUUCUAAGAUCUUGAUUUGUCUGACCUAUUCUCUCUUCAACACCUUUGAAAAUGUCUGGCCCUUCCGACCUUCGUUUUGACUUGAACCUUGGUGAAGAGGCAGCCGCACCUUCUUCAGACAACAUAUGGCGCUCAUCCUUACCGUUGGGGAUUCCGUGAUGAAAAAUGAUAUGAUCGCUACGUUGGUGGCCAGGAACAUUCUCACUCCCAAAGAUAACAGACUUCUUUCCAAACGGUAUGAUGAGUUGGCUGUCUGAUGAUGAGUUGGCUGUCUGAUGAGUUGGUUGUUAAGGAUUAUCUGGCUCUCAGUGUUCAGUGUGCAGGUUCUGUGUCGAAUAUGGCCCAACGCCUAUUUGCUCGAACCCGCCAAGUUGAAUCAUUGGCGGCUGAAGUGAUGAGUCUCAAGCAGGAGAUUAAAGGGCUCAAGCAUGAGAAUAAACAGUUGCACAGGCUCACACAUGACUAUGCUACAAACAUGAAGAGGAAGCUUGACCAGAUGAAGGAAUCUGAUGGUCAGAUUUUACUUGAUCAUCAGAGGUUUGUGGGUUUGUUCCAAAGGUAUUUAUUGCCUUCGUAUUCUGGGGCUGUACCGCAUAAUGAAGCUCCAAAUGAUCAGCCUCCGAUGCCUCUUCCUUCUAGGGUUCUGUCCAAUACUGAGGUUCCGAGUGAUCACCCUCCGGUGUCUUCUCUUUUUGGGGUUCUACCGACUGCUAAGACUUCUCAUAAGCAACCCUUGUAAAAGCCUCCUCUUGUUUGUUUAUUUUGAUUCAUGUAUAUGUACGUAUUUGUAAUUUAUCAGAGAUAUCAAUAAAUAAGCUUUGCUUCAUUUCAACGUAUUAUGUUAAAUACACCAAAGCCUUCUUCACUAAGUUCUUUGAAUUUUUCUUUUGUUGAAGCUUGUAUGUUGAAGCUUUGUGAGUGAAACAUGUAGGUUGAGGUAGUGUUCCCUUAAUUUCUCGAGUGAGGAAAACUUCUCGGUUGGAGACUUGAAAAAUCCAAGUCACUGAGUGGGGUUGGCUAUAUGAAUCUUAGAACGCCAUUGUGCUCGGUCCUGUGUCAUGUCCUCCGUUAGAUCCAAGUACUCUAAGUCUUUUCUUAGAGUCUCUUCCAAAGUUUUCCUAGGUCUUCCUCUACCUUUUCGGCCCUGAACCUCUAUCCCGUAGUCGCAUCUUUUAACCGGAGUGUCAGUAAGCUUUUUUUGCACAUGUCCAAACCACCGUAACCGAUUUUCUCUCAGUUUUCCUAUAAUUUUGGCUACUCCUACUUUACCUCGGAUAUCCUAUAAUCUUAUCCUUUCUCGUGUGCCCACACAUCCAAAUGAGCAUCCUCAUCUCUGCUACACCCAUUUUGUGUACGUGUUGAUGCUUCACCGCCCAACAUUCUGUGCCAUACAGCAUCGCCGACCUUAUUGCCGUCCUAUAAAAUUUUCCCUUGAGCUUCAGUGGCAUACGACGGUCACACAACACGCCGGAUGCACUCUUCCAUUUCAUCCAUCCAGUUUGUAUUCUAUGGCUGAGAUCUCUAUCUAAUUCUCCGUUCUUUUGCAAGAUAGAUCCUAGGUAGCGAAAGCAGUCGCUCUUUGGUAUUUCCUGAUCUCCGAUCUUCACCCCUAACUCAUUUUGGCCUCCAUUUGCACUGAACUUACACUUCAUAUAUUCUGUCUUUGAUCGGCUUAGGCAAAGACCUUUAGAUUCCAACACUUCUCUCCAAAGGUUAAGCUUCACAUUUACCCCUUCCUGAGUUUCAUCUAUCAACACUAUAUCGUCUGCGAAAAGCAUACACCAAGGAAUAUCAUCUUGAAUAUGUCAUGUUAACUCAUCCAUUACCAACGCAAAAAGGUAAGGACUUAAGAAUGAGCCUUGAUGUAAUCCUACAGUUAUGGGGAAGCUUUCAAUUUGUCCUUCAUGAGUUCUUACGGCAGUCUUUGCUCCUUCAUACAUAUCCUUUAUAGCUUGGAUAUAUGCUACUCGUACUCCUUUCUUCUCCAAAAUCCUCUAGAGAAUGUCUCUUGGGACCCUAUCAUACGCUUUUUCCAAAUCUAUAAAGAUCAUGUGUAAAUCCUUUUUCCCCUCUCUAUAUAUUUCCAUCAAUUUUCGUAAGAGAUAGAUUGCCUCCAUGGUUAAGCGCCCUGGCAUGAACCCGAAUUGGUUGUCCGAAACCCAUGUCCCUUGCCUCAAUCUAUGCUCAAUGACUCUCUCCUAGAGCUUCAUUGUAUGACUUAUUAGCUUAAUACCCUUAUAGUUCAUGCAAUUUUGUACGUCGCCCUUAUUCUUGUAGAUAGGCACCAAAGUGCUCUUUCGCCACUCAUUUGGCAUCUUCUUCGUUUUCAAAAUCCUAUUGAAAAGGUCAGUAAGCCAUGCUAUACCUGUCUCUCCCAAGACUUUCCACACUUCGAUCGGUAUAUCAUAUGGGCCCACUGUUUUUCUAUGCUUCAUCUUCUUCAAAGUUACAACCACUUCUUCCUUCCUGAUUCGACGAUAAAAUGAGUAGUUUCUACACUCUUCUGAGUUACUCAACUCCCCUAAAGAAGUACUCAUUUCAUGUCCUUCAUUGAAAAGAUUAUGAAAAUAACUUCUCCAUCUGUCUUUGACCGUGUUCUCUGUAGCAAGAACCUUUCCAUCCUCAUCCUUGAUGCACCUCACUUGGUUUAGAUCCCUUGUCUUCUUUUCCCUUGCUCUAGCUAGUUUAUAGAUAUCCAACUCUCCUUCUUUGGUAUCUAGUCGCUUAUACAUAUCGUCAUAAGCCACUAACUUAGCUUCUCUCACAGCUUUCUUCGCCUCUUGCUUCACUCUUCUAUACCUUUCACCAUUUUCAUCGGUCCUAUCCUUAUAUAAGGCUUUACAACAUUCCUUCUUAGCCUUCACCUUUGUUUGUACCUUCUCAUUCCACCACCAAGAUUCCUUUUGGUGUGGAGCAAAGCCCUUGGACUCUCCUAAUACCUCUUUUGCUACUUUUCGGAUGCAACUAGCCAUGGAAUCCCACCUUUGGCUAGCUUCCCCCUCUCUAUCCCACACACACUGGGUGAUUACUUUCUCUUUGAAAAUGACUUGUUUUUCUCCUUUUAGAUUCCACUAUCUAGUCCUUGGGCACUUCCAAGUCUUGUUCUUUUUUCUCACUCUUUUGAUAUGUACAUCCAUCGCCAACAAGCGAUGUUGAUUAGCCAAGCUCUCUCCCGGUAUAACUUUGCAAUCCUUACAAGUUAUACGAUCCCCUUUCCUUAUUAAAAGAAAAUCUAUUUGUGUUUUUGACGACCCACUCUUGUAGGUGAUCACAUGUUCUUCUCUCUUCUUAAAGAAGGUGUUGGCUAAGAAGAGAUCAUAUGCCAUUGCAAAAUCCAGGAUAGCUUCCCCAUCCUCGUUUCUCUCCCCAAAACCAUGGCCACCAUGAAAACCUCCAUAGUUGCCUGUCUCCUUGUCCACGUGUCCAUUUAAAUCUCCUCCUAUAAAUAACUUCUCCGUCUGAGCAAUUCCUUGCACCAAGUCUCUAAGGUCUUCCCAAAAUUUCUCAUUCGAACUCGUAUCCAACCCUACUUGAGGUGCGUACGCACUAAUCACAUUGAUGAGUUCUUGUCCUAUUACAAUCGUGAUUGCCAUGAUUCUAUCUCCUACCCUCUUGACAUCUACAACAUCUUGUGUCAAGGUCUUGUCCACGAUGAUGCCAACACCGUUUCUCAUUCGAUUUGUGCCCGAAUACCAGAGUUUAAACCCUGAGUUUUCUAGAUCUUUUGCCUUAAGACCAACCUACUUAGUUUCUUGUAGGCACAUAAUAUUUAUCCUUCUCCUCACCAUAACUUCCACUAAUUCCAUAGAUUUUCCCGUUAGAGUUCCUAUAUUCCACGUUCCUAAACGCAUUCGAAAAGAAGAGUCUAUGGCCCCCUUGCUCAUUUAACACUGCAUCCGGGUGCCGAUGGAGAUACAGCGACCUUUGCUCACCUAUCACUGUGCUCGGGCCACACAGCGCGCCACUUACUGGUGACGCCCUAGCUUUAGCGUGAUUUUGUUCUGGAUUCAUUUUCAUAAGGAUUCGACGUAAACUAGGAGUGCCGGCUGUCGACUACCUGACGCCCUCCCCCUCUUCCUUUAUCCGGGCUUGAGACCUGCAAUGUAAGAUAAACUUACACAGGCGGAGUUACCAAGACCCUUCGUUAUGUUCCAAAAUUGAUUGUAUUACUUUGUAUAUUCUAUCUCAUUUCUAAGACAAAGUUAGGGGCGGAGUCAUGUGAGGACGAACAUGGUCGCAAAACCCUUAUUCUCCAUUACUCCUCAGCUCCCCCAUCUUUCCUCCUGUUCUAGCGUAAAACCUUGCUCGCCAAUGAAUAGAGUUAUACAGUUGUUUUAUACAAAAAAUUUAAUUUUUACCAUGGAGGCGUGCAAUGUAGCUACUUAUAUUUCAGGCUUAAUAAUUCCAGUGAAAAUGGCUGAAUUUUCCGUUCCACCUAGCAAUGAUGCUAGUUGAGAAUUUCAAGAUUCACAAACCUAAACUUAAACCUUUCAAGCAAUGUCAGGGAUGAUGUUGUUGAAAGAGCCCUCAGAAUUUUGAGCAGGAUGAUGCAAGCCUAUCUGACGGACUGCUUAUCGAAACAAAUCGAUGAAAGCUCCCAAUUAAGUGAUUCAAAAUCGUGCAAAAGAUAUCCGAACUAUAACAUGUGUAUAUUCAUUAAUCAGUGGUUACUCAACUCUUAUUUAUGGCCGUGCGGUGAGCCACAGCUCAAUUUCAUUCACUAGACAUCAAGUUUGCCCCUUACAAUAACAAAAUGCAUACACGAGAACAUAGCCAACAAUAUAUAAGUUUAUAAAAUAAAUGCAAAAGGCCAUAGCAUUUCUGUACUGGUGAAUUCCUGCCUUCUUCACUUCAGCAAAGUUCUAAGCCAACUUAACCGUCAGUUCGUCCUUUACCUGAUCACCAUUUCAGUUACUCUCCUUCCCCCCACAGUGGCCUAGAGAUAGAGAAGAAAGAGAUCAAAAUAUUAAAACCCUAGUCAAAACUAUUGCAAUUCAUCAACCAAAAAACAAGCAGGCAAUUGAAUGCUUUAUUUACCUUGUGUUUCUUUAGGGUCAACUCAAUCAGGAAAGAUUUUGAAAUCCAGUGAAGGACUGGUUGCUCCCGAGAUGGAAAGAGUGGAUGACUCGAAUAUGCUCAACAUGAGCACGGUCCUCACUGUCUUUCCCAAGCUUAGCGAUGAACUCAUCAGGCAUGUCAUAUAGAAGCAGUUCGUCGAGAUGCGUAAGAUGCUCCAUUCCAAGUGGAAGUAAGCUCAAAUUUUGACAUCUAGACAUGAUUAGCUUCUCAAGCUUAUGUAAGAUUAAUAAAUGCGGAAUAAGUAAAUCACAAUACCAAAUAAUUAACCACUAACCUUUGACGCCAUUGCUGCAAUGAACUAAGGAUUCGUCUACUCUCAACACAGACCGAAUGCACUGCUACAAUCAAUGGGGCUUGAUAUCUUUUUGUGCGUAAUCCGUGUGAGAGCAGGGGACCCCUAUUAUAUAUCCUAAAUGGUGGUGUUUGAUAAGGAUACUUCCCAUCAUGUAAUCCUUAUCAAACUAUCAAACCGAUAACCCUUAUCACCACAAACCAUACUAUUCAUAUCAGUAUAGAUAUAUCUACUCAUAUCAGAAUUACUUUAGCUAUAUAUCAGUCCACAUACAUUCCUUGAUAGCUUACAAGUAUAGUCAAUCCUAAUCUCUUAUGAUCUCAAACCCUUAAGCACGUGUCAAACAAGUGAGCAGCUCUAACAAAGCUUACAUUCUCCCACUAGAGCCAACACUUGUUUAUCACAGUACCACCUAAUAAGAAAUCAUACUUGAAUGGCCAUGAGAAUAAGAUUAACAAAACCCUGAUAACAAGUUUCUGUCAUAAGUUAGUAUUCAUGAAGAACUAAAGGGAAGUCAUGCUCCAAUAUAUAAACAUUAUCCCCAAAAUUACUGUCAUGAAACCAUCAAACACAUGAAACUCCAUCAAGACAUGAAAAAUAAUACAAGAUGCAAAUAUGAAUGCUUCUUUAAUGCACUUGCAUUAUGGUCCUCCCUUAAGACCAGUAAACUAGUCCACUUUAUUGUCUCGUACUGAGACCCUUAAGUUGCUUUUUUUGUUACAACAAUUCAAACAAAUUGUCAUCCAAAAUACACUUUCAUAAUGUAUCUGUAUCAUAACUAUAACACUGCAAUUUCUGGGAAACCUUUGCAACUAGCAGCGUAUUACUUUAUUAGUUAAGAUGAUCUAAACAUAAAUACUUUAAUGCAUAUUCCAAAAAAUACCUGAAUCAACCAAUGUCCAAGAACAAAUGUCUUAAACAUGAUCUAAACUCCCACUUUUCUGCAGUACCAAAAACUUCCAGCACUUCCAUCUUCCUUGUAUGUUUCUUGAAUAUUGCCUUUGCAAUGGCCUUGUUCAACGGAUAUGCUAUCAUAGAACCUGUCUCCAAAUAAUUGAUUUUAACCAAACCAAUCAUCACCUUUUCACGAGCAACAAAAAACUUAAUCUCCGGGUUCCUUGUAGUAUUGUAUCUCUUAUUGUUCUUUGUGAAGAAAAUCACUGCACUAUUAUCACAGUAAAGCUGAAUGAGUCUUGAGAUUGAGUCAACAAUACGAAGACCAAUGAUAAAAUUCUUGAACCAAACUACCUAAUUCACAAUUUCACAGCAAGACAAGUACUCAACCUCGAAGAAUGCAAUGAUGUCUUGCUUGGCACUCCCUUAAGAAACAGCUCCAUUAGCCAUCAUAAACACAUAGCUUGAAGUUGAUUUCAAAUCAUCUGGGAAAUCAGCGAAGUCUGCGUCAUUUGUAUCCUUCUAAGACCAAGUUUUCAGUAUUCUUAUAAACCAGCAUAUGAGACUUAGUUUUCUACAGGUACCUUAGAACUCUUUUCCUAGCAUUCCAAUGUGCUUCUCCUGCAUCAGAAUGGAAUCUCCCUAAAAACCUAAUGGUAAAAGAUAGGUUUGGCUUAGUACAAACCUGAGCAUUCAAUAAGCUCCUUACUAAUGAGGCGUAAUGACUAUCCUUCAUCAUUUCCUUUUCCAAAUUAUUUCUAAGACAUUGCUCCUUGCUUAGCUUAGCACUCUUCGAUAUAGGCAUUUCAGUUGUGCCGCAUGCUGACAUGUUGAAUCUAUUUAAAACUUUCUCAAUGUAACUUCUUUUUGACAACCCUAACAAUCCCUUCUUUUUUUCUUUUUUUUUUUUUUUUUUUUUCUUCUUUCUCUUUUAAUCUCGAUGCCGAUCACCUAAAUCUUUCAUCUCAAACAUGAAAGACUUGGUAUCAUCUAAGAAAAUCAAACUAUUUGUUGCCAACAAUAUGUCAUAAACAUUGAGUACCAGAAUAAUGAAGUUGCGCCCACUGACUUCCAAGUAAAUGUAGGCAUCAUAAGGGUUUUCCACAAGGCCAUGAUCCUUAACAACACGAUGGAACUUUAAAUACCACUGUCUUGACGCCUGUUUUAAACCAUAGAUUGGUUUUUUUUUUCAAUCUAAUUGCUCUCUCCCUUUCUCCUUCAAACUCUCUGGUUGUCGUGUAUAUAUAUAUAUACUUUCCUCCAUAUCACCAUUUAAAAAAGUCGUUUUUACAUCCAUUUGAUGCAAAACAAGUCAAAAUGUGCCACCAUCGCCAUGAUUACUCUGAAUGCAUCUUUUGUUGGUACUGGACUAGAAGUUUCUUUAUAAUCGGUACCUUCUCUUUGAAUGAAUCCCUUGGCCAUCAAUCUGACCUUAUGUCUCUUUAUAUUUCCCUUUGAGUCUUUCUUGGUCUUAAACACCCGUUUACAACCUUUCGGUUUCAUGCCUUCUCUUGGUUCCACUAGUUCCCAUACUUUUUUUUUUUUCUUCCAUUGAUGACAUUCAGACUCCAUAGCUUCUAAUUGUUUGCUUGCUUUUGGACUCGAGAUGGCUUGUUUGAAAGUCCCAGGAUCUUCGAACUCUGAUAAAUUAAAAUCUGGCCUUUCCAAAUACACAAAAUCUGAUGAGAUUGUUGACUUUCUUACCCUAUUUGAUUUCCUCAGAAGCAGUGAAGCAUCAUCGACUGCCAAAACUGGUGAGUUUAGUCGGUGGUUGCUUCCAUUGGCAGUGCUUCCUCCACGUGUGCUUCCUGAUUUCCUGCAUGUUGUUCAUCAUUCAACAACACCCCAAUUUCAGUGCCAUACUCCAGUCGGUGGUUAUUGCCACUUGGAGCUGCCACCUCCACGUAAUCUCCAUGAUCAUCAUUUUGUUGCUCACCAUGCAACAACACAUUAGUUUGCUGCUCACCAUGCAAUAAUUCAUUAGUUUCAGUGCCAUGCCCAAAAUUAGAAUCAUCAAUACCUCCACUUAAUUUCUUCCAUUUGAUUUGGAAGUUGAACCAAAGCUGCUGCAGUCAGUGAAUGUUUAAAUCAUUCCCCAUUUGACCAUCUUCUUCAAAUAUAAAAUUGUCAGUUCUUGUGCUUACAUGAUCGUCCAUCUCUAACUCCAUAAACAACUGGUAGAUUGGUCCUACAAUCAUACUCCUUACCAUGUCCAUUAGGGUUCUAAUUCUUCUCUAAGCCACUUCAUUUUGCUCCGGUGUACCAGGGAUGGUAUAUUGAGCUACAAUUAUAUGUUCUUGUAAAAAUAAAGCAAAAGGCCAAGGGUAUCUGCCACAAUUUGUCUGUAUCUUCCAUAGUAUAAAUCUUGAAAACUUCUAAGGCUUUUGAUUUUUCAGAAAUCAAAUAAAUGUAACAGUAGUCUUAAAAUCAUCUAUGAAAAUUAUGAAAUAUUUAUUUUCUUCAAUUAUUUGUGUGGAAAAAGGACCACAAAUAUCUUUAUUGAUUAUUUCUAAAAGUUGUUUGCUCUUCCUUGAACCCUCUUUUCUUUUGUUUGUCAUUUUUCUCUUGACACAAUCAAAACUCAAAAUCGUUGACGCCUUUAUUAUUCAAAGAAAAUAAAAAACUAGCAAAACCAACUUUGAAAUGAAACUAAUUUCAUUCUAAUAUAAGGUACAUAAACCAUGUUAUCAAGUUCUAAACAAAAACUAAAAUCUAAUUUUAUCCUAGUAGUUUCUAUUGCCAUGACUUCAACUCUUUCAUUGCCAAAUGAGACUUUUGACUUCAUCCUUAUUUGGUGUUCUCUUUAUUAUGAAGUCCUGCAAUGAAUUUGUUACAUGAAUAGAAGAGCCAAAGGCAAGCCACCAAGCAUUGGUAGGCAUAUCAGUUAAAUUUGAUUCAAAACAAACAAAAAAAAAAAUUGAAAUAUAUAUAUAUAUAUAUAUUUUUUUUUUUUUUACUUUUAUUUGCCUCCUGUUUCGCAAGCCAUGCAUUGUACUUGGGACAAUUUCUCUUCAUAUGGCCUGCCUUUUGGCAAAAUAACAUUUGCAAACUGUAAAAUUGUUAAGUUUGAAAGUCCUAGACAUGGGAGUAUUUCUAGCAUUUUCUUUCCUGGCACCCUUGACCUGUUGCUUUUGGUAUGACCUUGAAUAUAGUUCACAUACUCAUCCUUUUCAAUUCUCUCCUUUUAAUUCUCACUUCCUCCCCAACACAAAAAGAAAUUAACUCAUUCACAUCCCAUUUGGCUUUGGUUUGCAAAGCAUUGUAAGAAACUUUCAAAUGAGUAUAGGAUUCUGGGAGUGAAUUCAUGAUUACAUGCACCAAAAAGGUUUCAGAAAUUGGUACCUCAAGAUUUCUGAGUUUCCAAGCAAUGUUGAUGACUCUGAGAAUAUAUUGGCGCACACUUCCUUCACCAUCAUACCUGAUUAGUGAGUGAAUUCAUGAGGUUGCCAGUUUCAGUUUUCUCGGACUCUUUGUACUUUUCCUCAAUAGAUUUCAUGAACUCUUUUGCAUUCGUUGCCUCUGGGAAUCCUCCACGAACAACAUCAGGCAUUGUUCGUUGAUUAUCAUCAGCGAGAUUCGAUUCGAUUUUUGCCACUUUUCAUACUUUGAUCUUUGGCUGGAAGUGCUUCCAUUGACAGUUAGCGGGGUUCCUCAAUUCUCAAUGCUAAAUCCAUAUCCAUGACACCAUAACGAUUUCCAAGUCUUGUUUCCUUUUCUUAUAGUUGACGCCAUUGAUGAUUCAACAGUGUUGAGGUUAUGGAACUAGGGUUCAUGGCUGCAACUUGAAAAGUAUUACUCUUUAAUCCCCUUUCUUUAUAUCAUAGACUCAAAAACCUUUGGAUUAAUGAGUUAUAUGAAGAUUUUUCUUUAAUCAUGGCACCUUCACAGCCAACAUACGUUUUUCUGUAGUCAUUGUUACAACCCUUUGUGGAUUGCAAGAAGUAACUGUGUUCAUACCUUGGAUUGUAAAGUGCCAUGCCACUUGAGAUCAAAACAUAGACUACUGAACAUCUUUAGAUGAUCAGUGACGAUGCUUCAAUCCCAAUGCCAAUACUAAUUUCGUAUUCUUAAUAAGAAUCAUACAUAUUGCACAGAUAGCUUUAGCUAUCAUAUGCAUACACAUGUUCUCCCUGUAUAAUACGUAAUUAGUCUUUAACCUGAAAAUUUUAAAAAACAAAUCUUUAUGCUUUCCUCUUAGGGUUAAUUGGUAUGUGAAAGCUCUGAUACCAAAUGUAAGAUUAAUAAAUGCGGAAUAAGUAAAUCACAAUACCAAAUAAUUAACCACUAACCUUUGACGCCAUUGCUGCAAUGAACUAAGGAUUCUUCUACUCUCAACACAGACCGAAUGCACUGCUACAAUCAAUGGGGCUUGAUAUCUUUUUGUGCGUAAUCCGUGUGAGAGCAGGGGACCCCUAUUAUAUAUCCUAAAUGGUGGUGUUUGAUAAGGAUACUUCCCAUCAUGUAAUCCUUAUCAAACUAUCAAACCGAUAACCCUUAUCACCACAAAACCAUACUAUUCAUAUCAGUAUAGAUAUAUCUACUCAUAUCAGAAUUACUUUAGCUAUAUAUCAGUCCACAUACAUUCCUUGAUAGCUUACAAGUAUAGUCAAUCCUAAUCUCUUAUGAUCUCAAACCCUUAAGCACGUGUCAAACAAGUGAGCAGCUCUAACAAAGCUUACAGCUUAGGCAUUGCCCCGUUCUCGACUACCAUCUUAUUUAGCUGAUCAAACUGUUCAAUAUGUAAUAUCUUUAGCUUGUUGAACGUUUCAGCUUUGAAUUUCAACUCUGCACCGGUGUGAUACUGAACCAAAUCGAGCUCCAUCAGCUCAGGCAAAGCUUGAAGGGCCUCAAGUGGGUUUUCAUUAGCCUGAAGUUUUGACCACUUUAAACCAAUCUUUACUACGCUGUGAAGUUUGGAAAUCCACAUUGGCAGCCUUUCUAGGCGCCCUUUCAAAUAUAGGCGUUGCAGAAAGUCAGGACGAAAUUCACCAUGAUCCAAAUCCAGAAAGUCCUCCUCGCUCGUUGAUCGUACAUCCAAUGUCGAGAGCUGCUCCAUUUCAUGAAGAGAACAACACAACUUCCUUCCAUCUUCUUUUUGAAGAUCGGUCAACCCCAGUUUCCUAAGACCUUUCAACUCUCGUAAGGCUGUUAUGAUUUUUCUGUUAUUUUUUACACUAAUUAGUGACAACUUUUGUAUGGAGGAUAAAGAUGAAAUGUUGCCUGCAGAGAGCUCUACGCUUCUUGCAGCUUCAAAUGUCACAUAAUUCGUGACAUCAUAGCGAUAGACUAAAAGGUGGUGCAAAUUGCGGAGCUUAUAAAUCUGUUUUGGUAAAUUGGUCACUUUUGUGUGCUUAAGGUCUGAGGUUUCCAAGAAUCCAAGCUUCUUUAUGGACUUUGGCACUUCUUUAAUAUCGGUGUGCCUUAGACUUAUGUACCUCAAGAGGGUGAGACCAAAAACAGAAUCGGGAAAGUUGUCCAAAUUUAUCCCUUGCAAAUCUAAAACCUUUAAAAAUUUAAAGGUUUUAAGUAGUCUUUCAAGCUCGGAAUCAUAACUUCCCUGCCCACUUAAUAGCAUGGUACGAGUACAACUCAAAUCUGUACCACUUGAAAAAUUGUUGCCCUUACGAACAUCAUGAACAGAAAGGUGUCGAAUUUUCUCACCUGGAGCAGUACCUCUGCAGUUUGCUGCCAACGAGACAGUGAUGAAAUUCUCCGCUUUUUCAAUGAUGAACUCGCGAACGAGGUUCAGUACACGGCAGCUUCUGACUCUUCCAUCGACUUCCCUUGAACUCACAUGAACUAAAUUUCUUCCAAUGAGAUCAUUCAGAUAGCCUCCUGCAACCUCCUCCAUUAGUUUUCUUGAUCUGCUCUGCAUCACAAAUCCUUCAGCUACCCACAAGCGAAUUAGCCUUUCACGGCUAAUGGAGUAGUCUUCAGGAAACAUGCCAAAGUACAAGAAACAAGUCUUAAGAUGGCUUGGAAGGUCCUUGUAACUUGGCUCCAAUAUUUGGGUAAUAAUGGGAACAUUUGAUCCAAGGCUCUCAUGUAACUUCUUCCAAUCAAGUGGAGUUGGUCGCUUCGUUGCUAGCAAAGUACCAACAGCAGAAAUUGCAAGGGGCAAGCCUUCACACUUCUUGACGAUUUUCUCUGCGCAGUCCAAAAUCUGGGUUGGACACUUUCCUUCGCUCUUGUGAAAAGCCUUUCGGCAGAAUAGAUUCCAAGCUUGUUCCCAUGACAACACUUUGCUCAUAUUGUGGAUGUACGAAGAGUUUGCAUGAGAAGACGCUACUUCAGAGUAACGAGUAGUUAUGACUAUUUUACUCCCAGUCCCAGGUAAAUCAUUUGGUAAAACAUUUACAAUGCGUUCCAAAUCUUGUUUGCUCCAAACAUUAUCUAACACGACCACAAACUUCUUGCCCUUCAAAGCUCUUACCAAAUCUUCAUGAUUAACUGAUUCCUUCCUUCUGCCUUUUGGAUCAAAUUUGCUUAACAUGUUGAGCAAGAGCUCAUCAAGUUUACGGGCACACAAGUCACGCGGCACAUCAAUCCAAGCAUGGCAUUCAAAAAACCGUUGGACCUUUUUGCUCUUGAAGACAUUCUUCAAAAGAGUGGUUUUGCCUGAGCCACCAGGACCUACAAGCGAGAUAUUCGGAAACCUUGGAUCUCCUUUCAUCAACUGACUGAUGAGUUUUUCUUUAGGCUUCUCAAACCCUACCAUUUCUUCUUCUUCAAGGAAUUGGUUAUGAUGAGUCACCGUGCUAUCUCCAUGUCUUGUGGUGCUGGAACUUGGGCGACUUUCUUGAUCUCGUCCCGGAAAUUGUGGAAUUUUAUCAAGAGUGAAAACAAAAUUUAGCUUCUUGUCAAUAUUUUGAAUUCUGUCCGAGAACUCACGGCUUGCUUUCUGUACCGUGAAAAAUUUCACAGCAUCGUGUAGCUUCUGAGAGACGUCGUUGUGGAAUUGAUGAGGGACAUGAAGCAGAAAUUCGUCAAGAACGUCUUCAAUUUCAUAAGCUAUAUUUCGGAUCUCUUUUACACGAGCUUGAAACUGUUGAGACCCUCCAUCGUAAGCAGACAGUUCUGCUGAUGAGUGGUCACUAAGAUAUGCGCGCAUCCUCUCUAAACAGCUUCUGGCUCUUCCAACAUCAUCACAGGGAUUAUUAUUAUUAAUGCUCGAUCGGCCGAAUUUUUUGUCGAGGAACAUUAUCACUUUGUCCGCCAGAAACAACGCUACUGGUACGGCAAUUUCAGCCAUUUGUAAAAGAAAGGGCAGCUUUCCAAGUUGCAGAAAAUUGCUUCUGUCCGAUCACAAAAAGAAAGAAGAAAGAAAGUUGCUUCUCGGUAACUCAGUUGGUGCAAGUAUUGAACGAGCUGGCUAGAAAAAGACUCAGCUAAUUGCAAUGAGAGGUUGACGAAGGGAUUGAACAAUGAAUGGGUCUGAAAUAGCUAUUUUUCUUGAGGAUAAUGAGAGUGCAUGGUGGUGAGCACCUACUUAUAGAAGCUGAGAAGCUGAGAAGCUGUAUAAUUAAAAAGAAAAGUCUAAGGUCUGGUAUUUCCUCGUAGCUACAAUUUCUUGACAACCGUAUAUUUUAUUUUCUGCCAUUGCUGUUACUAGAAUCACUAAUUUUCUAUAUGAUAGUUGCCUUGGUUUAUCUCGAAUUCAUGCCACCACACAAAAGAAUACUUUGUGCAAGUUGAAUUGAUUAAUUUGCAGAGCAACUCCCAAGAAAGAGAAGAAAGAAUGCUUUUCAAUGAUAUUUUAUUUCAUAUCAAAACAAGGUAUAUAUACAACCCUAUACAGAUAUGGGAAAGAAUAAGGGAAGAAUAAUUACAUCCUAAACUAGGAAACCAAUUACAGUAGAAAUCCCACAAUUAUAGGAAUCCUAAUAUAAGUCAACACUCCCCCUCAAGUUGGUGCAUAGAUGUUGCACAUGCCCAACUUGUCUAGAAAUCUGGAGAACUUGUUACUAGAAACCGCCUUCGUGAGAAUAUCUGCUACUUGGUCGUCCGUUCCUAUGGGAGGAACCUCAAUUACUUUACUAUCUAGCUUCUCUUUAAUAAAGAACCGAUCAACCUCUACAUGCUUGGUCCGAUCAUGUUGCACAGGAUUAUGAGCAAUAUCCCGUGCCGCUUUAUUGUCACAGAAUAACAUCAUAGGUAGAUCUUGUUUAACCCCCACAUCUUGCAACAGAAACUUAAGCCACAAGAGUUCACAAAUACCGAGUGCCAUGCCUCUAAAUUCGGCUUCUGCGCUUGACCUUGAUACGACAUUCUGCUUCUUGCUUCUCCAUGUUACUAGAUUUCCCCCAACAAAGGUGAAAUACCCAGAUGUCGAGCGUCUAUCAUCCGUCGAUCCUGCCCAAUCAGCAUCCGUAUAGCACUCAAUUCUGAAAUGCUCAUUUUUCCGAAAUAAAAUUCCUUUACCAGGGCUUCCCUUUAAGUAACUCAAUAUUCUCAUAACUGCACUCAUAUGUUGUUCUCCUGGAUUGUGCAUAUAUUGACUAAUCACACUUAAGGCAUGAGCAAGAUCAGGCCUAGUGUGAGCCAAGUACAUUAAUCUUCCUAUUAACCUUUGAUACCUCCCUUUAUCAACCGGUACUUGGUUCUGAUCUAUACCCAACUUCAUUCCUUCGGCCAAAGGAGUAGACACCGGCUUACAUGCUGUCAUACCGGUUUCUUCCAACAGGUCAAGAACAUACUUCCUUUGUGAUAGAAAUAUCCCGGACUUGCAUCUUGAUACUUCAAUCCCAAGAAAAUAUUUCAAAGGACCAAGAUCUUUCAUUUUCAAACUCUGUGGACAAAUAACUUUUCAAGGCUGCUUGCUCAACAGGAUCAUCACCAGUAACCACCAUAUCAUCCACAUACACGAUUAGAGCCGUAACCUUUCCGUUCUGGUGUUUCAGAAACAACGUGUGAUCCCAAUUACUCUGUAUAUACCCAAAUGCCCUCAUGGACUUGGUAAAUCUACCAAACCAGGCUCGAGGAGACUGCUUUAAUCCAUACAGUGAUUUCUUGAGCCUACAUACCUUUUGUUUCCGUCUGUCCGAAUCACUGCACCCUGGUGGAAGAUCCAUGUAAAUCUCCUCAGUCAGAUCUCCAUGGAGGAAAGCAUUUUUUACGUCGAACUGUUGCAAAGGCCAAUCCAGAUUUGCUGCUAAGGACAGUAGAACACGAACUGUAUUGAUCUUUGCCACUGGUGCGAAUGUAUCAGUGUAAUCAAUGCCAUAUUUCUGUGUAUACCCCUUUGCCACCAAUCUUGCUUUAAAGCGAUCUACCGUUCCGUCGGCUUUAUAUUUUACUGUAUAAACCCAUUUGCAUCCCACUGUUUUCUUUCCGGCUGGCAAGUCUAUUAUGUCCCAGGUAGCAUUCUUCUUCAACGAUCUCAAUUCUUCGUUCAUUGCAUCUUUCCAGCGGGAAUCUGCUAAAGCCUCUUGCACACUGUUAGGAAUAGAUACAGUAGAUAAUUGAUACACAAAUGACUUAUUUGAUUCUGACAGGUGACAGGUAGACACAUAAUGGUUUAAUGGGUAUCUCACUCUGGAAUCAGAGUUUGGCUCACUCAUGGAAUACUUGUGUUUACACUCAGGAUCUGCCUCAUAAGUGGGUUUGGGAAUACCUCUAUUAAUACGCUCUGGAAGGCGACGAAGUGAAGGUGCAUCCGGUGUAGAAGACGAUUGGUUAUGAGAAGUAGUAUCUCGUGACACAUGCUGUAAUUGCUGCUCUGUUUCACUGCAAUUGGACGGCUGCAUCUCAUCUUCCAACUCAAUACCCGUGAGACCCGUGGGCUGCUCCUCUUCCUGACGUGUUGGCUGCUCCUCAGUAGGCUGCUCGGUAGGACUAAACCCAGAAAACACGGGCUGCUGCCCUUCCUCAGGUGUCGUGGGCUGCUGCCCUUCCCCAGAAGCCGUGUACUCCAAGCUCAACACGUCCCUAUCAUCGCGAGUCAGAACUUCAUCAUUGCAGUACUCCCCCUGAAGUGAGGACGGGGAGGAACCAAAGAACAUUUCAUUCUCGUGAAAACUCACAUCCUGAGUAAUAAACAUGUUUUUACUCGAAGGAUGAUAACAACGAUACCCUUUCUGGGUAGUAGCAUACCCCAAAAAAACACAACGAAGAGCUCUAGGUUCAAGUUUAGUCUUCCGUUGAGGUGGAUGGAGGUGAACAAACGCAACACAUCCGAUGACCCGUGGGGGAAGAUUGGGAGUCGGGGGGCUGCUAGUCUGAGAUGUGAGAGCCUGAAAUGGUGUAUGGAAGUCGAGAGUCCGAGAUGGAAGGCGAUUAAUAAGAUAGGUUGCAGACGUAAGUGCCUCUCCCCAAUAAUGGAGCGGCAAAUGUGCCGCAAGUAGGGAAGCACGAACCAUUUCUAACAAGUGUCGAUUUUUCCUUUCUGCAACCCCAUUCUGUUGAGGAGUAUACGGACACGUGGUCUGAUGAACAAUACCGUGCAACUCUAAGAAUGAACGAAGUUCCAUAUUAAUAUAUUCUCCCCCAUUGUCACUGCGAAGAACCUGGAUAUUCCUGUUGUAUUGUACAACAAUCAUUUUAUGAAACCGUUGGAAGGCCGAACUAACUUCACUCUUUGACUUUAACAAAAUAACCCAAGUCAUGCGGGUACAAUCAUCAAUAAAAGUAACAAACCAAUGAGCACCACCAAGAGUGGCUACUUUUGACGGUCCCCAUACAUCAGAAUGCACAAUCAUAAAAGGAACAGUACUUUUAUUUAAACUGGGAGGAAAAGAGGUUCGAUGGCUCUUAGCCAUUUCACAAACAUCACACUUAAACUGAGAAACAUCAGUCUUGACAAACAAACUAGGAAAUAACUUAUGCAGAUAACCAAAGGAAGCAUGCCCAAGUCGCCGGUGCCACAUCCAGAUGUCUGACACUUUAUUAGUAACCCCUUGAGAAUCAUCAACGGAAAGAGCUUGAGUCAGCAAGCUAGAACUACUGGUGGUCAACUCCAAGUAAUAAAGUUUCCCUCUUCUAAUACCAUAACCAAUCGUCUUCCGCGUCCGGAUGUCCUUAAAAAACACAAAAAUAUGGCCAAAAAAAAACCAAACAAUGUAAGGCAAGGGUUAUUUUUGAGCAACGGACAACAAAAUUAUAAUUUAGAGAGGGAACCACAAGAACAGUGUCAAGUUUCAUGGUAUCAGAAAGGGAAACAACGCCUUCCCCAAUAACAGGGACGGCAUUACCAUUAGCAACAUUGACCUCGGUUUGUGUGGAUGUUUUUUAGUGAUGGAACCUGUCUAGAAUCACAAGUCAUAUGUUCAGUAGCUCCGGAAUCAAUUAUCCAUGUAUUAUUCAUAACAGAAGUAGAAGUACUGAGUGCCUUACCAUCACUUCCUGCCGCAGCUAUCAUGGCAGAUGCCUUGUCCGCUAUCUGAUCCGAAUCAUUCUUGGUUUCGACAAUGGAGGCUCGAGAUUUGUUGCACCGAGGAUCACGGGUCUUAUCCCAAUUCUCGGGAUAUCCAAUCAGCUCAAAACAACGACUCUUGGAGUGUCCCGUCAGACCACAGUGUGGGCACUUACCUUGUGGACGAUCCCGGCUUGUCUGGUUUGGCCGAGUUGAUCCAGGCCGGUUUUGUACCCCUUCUCGAUUCGACCCACUAGAUGAUCCACGGGCCCUUGCUGCCAUGGCAGCAGACUCCCCCUUGUCAACCUCUGUCUUCAUUGCUUCCUUUCGAUCGGCUUCUCGACGAACAUAGGCAUAAGAAGCCUGCAGGCCAAGUGGGGGAUCCUUCCGCAGCACUUCUCCACGCACCUGAUCAAACCCAUCAUCAAGACCACCAAGAAACACAUAGACCCGUUGUCUCUCAGUGGAUUUCUGAAACACUUUGAUGUCAUUCUCACACUCCCCAUGGAUACUUUAUUAAAGUGAUCCAAUUCUUGGAAGAUCUCAGUGAGCUCCCCAAAAAUAGGUAGCUAAGGGUCGGCCAUUCUGACGCAGACGGGAUGCCUUCUGAUUCAACGAAUAAAUUCUAGCCUCGUCAUUCUCAUCAAAGUAGGCAGCCUUCAAGGAGUCCCAAAUCUCCUUCGAUGUAGACAACCGAAUGUACCGUUUCAUAAUCUCGGGCUUCAUGGAAGACAAAAGCAACUCUUAAUUUUUUGAUCUUCAGAAAACCAAUCAUCAUAUUUAGGAUCAUCUUCGCUAGGUGCCUUGAUAGACCCACGAAGAUAUCCCAUCUUCUUCCUUCCAGCAAUAUGAAUUUGAAUGAGAGGAGCCCAUAAAUCAUAGUUCUUUUCAUCCAAAACCAUACCAAUAUUAAAGCUUGAAUUCUCUGACUGCACCAUAAUUGGAGCAGCCGCUGAAACAAUCUGUGAACCAGCCCCCUUUUCUUCAGCCAUCUCUCUGUUGCUUCGGUGUUGACUGACACAAACUAGGCAGAGGAAAAAAAAAACAGCAGCGGUGAUGGGACCUAGAACACGUUGGACAAAUCAACAGGGCAGCAACACCCUAUCUGGUGCUCGCUGCAAUCGGUCAGAGCAGCAACACCUUCUCUGGUGCUCGCUGCAAUCAGUCAGGGAACGGGCAGCAACAACCCUAAGGUUGCUCGCUACAAUGGAUCAGGUACACGGCAGGAAAAAAUUAGGGUUCAGUUUUUUUUUUUCUAACCCGACUCUGGUGCCAAGAAGAAAGAAUGCUUUUCAAUGAUAUUUUAUUUCAUAUCAAAACAAGGUAUAUAUACAACCCUAUACAGAUAUGGGAAAGAAUAAGGGAAGAAUAAUUACAUCCUAAACUAGGAAACCAAUUACAGUAGGAAUCCCACAAUUAUAGGAAUCCUAAUAUAAGUCAACAGAAAGGACCACCACACCAGUACACCAUCAAUUUCCCAGGAAAACGAAUAAAUAAUUCCAGUUGCCAUAAACUAUAAGAUAUGACCGUGUCCUCCUCCUCUGGAAGGGCAAAGUCUUCUCUGGAAGGGAAGACACUUGCAAUCAGAUUAAUUCAUUAGAAAUUCAAAUGGACAAAUUUGCAAACAGUUUCACACUUGACUAAUAGAUCGGACAAAUUUGCCAAAACCCGUAGAAAUUCAAAAAUCAGGAACCACAAACAUAUACAUGUAAUCAAAGGCUAGUGAAAAAUAAAUACGUAUUUAAUUUUAUUAAUACAGAAUUGUUAAUAUAUUAAAUUCAAAAUUUUAAAUAAAAUUUUAUGAAAUAUAGAAAAACCUUGCGACAAAAAAAAAAUCAGAAAACCCUUGAAGGUGUUAUAGAUACAUAGACCACGUUAUUUUAUGAUAGCUAAUUGAUCAUUCGUAUAUUUCACUCUAUUUACAAAAGCGGCCACCGACAUUGCUGCUUGAACUCCUCGAUUCGUUCUUGGGCAUACAUAAUGCCAUACAUAAUGCCUCAGUUUAUGAGUCUAAAUGAAAUCUAAAAAUAGACAAUAAGGUGUAACUCAGCAGAGUCGAAGACAACAAAAAAUAAAUAUCAUUAAUUUAGCAUAAACUGAAUUGCAAGUUCAAAUGCAAGAAUGCAAAUGAAGACAAUACACUCCAUUCUGUUCAGCAAGGGGAUGAAGAGGCGAUGAAAAUAGUAUGAUUUAGUGAUCCGACCUUUAACUUGAUUCGAAGGAAGGGCAUUGAAUGUUGAAUCAACAAAAUUUUGCACAUGAAUUUUGAAGGAAAAAAAGAUAAGCUAUACGUCAUUAAAUUAGCACAAAAUCUAUUGACCAAAAAAAAAAAAAAUUAGCACAAAAUCUGUUUGUCCUUCGAAAAGGAGCUAAACACAUCUAAAACUCAAAGCUGAGAGAAGAACAAACAAUAUAUCUCAUAAAAUCCACAAAAUCCUAUACAUGGAAAUGUAAAUACCUACCACAUUGUUUUGAUUCUUUGGCAGAAUCACUAAUAGCAUCCAGCCUUUUCUUGCUUGGAGAUGCAUAACUCAGCUGCUCAUUAUGUGGGGUGGCUGGAAAACCAGUAGUCUCACCAUUACCGACAAUAUUAAUGCUCGAAUCCUCUUCAUUGGAAAACAACGCAAGAAUUCACCAAACCAAAAAACUAAAAAUUGAUCGCAGCAAAAAGUGCAGGAUUUUAUCAAGCCCAUGCAUAAAAAUAUACACAAUAUUUCCAACCAUAUCAUUCCCACUAAUACGAUAAUAUCAAUAGACUUAGCCAAGUUGAACGCUUAUUCGUCUAAUCAGUUUGUUAGAAUUAAAAAAACAUCUAGAACUUUGCUUUAUCCGAGAUCUGUGUAUAUGCAUAGAUAGACGUGUACACACACAAAAAUUAAAAGAAUAAAGGGAGACAGAAAACUGAGAACCGUAUGUACACUAAGAUGCAUCUCAAGAAUGAUUGAUGAAGGAGAUGCUCUUUUUUCUUUUCUUUAGACAAAGUAACUAAUGUGAUUAGAAAACUAAUUUAAAUCGUUGAAUUGCUCUCAUCAUACUUGUAUCUGUUUUAGCCUUAAUUCACAUGAUUGCGGACAUGCAAACAUCGUGGGAAUUUAAAAAACCAUAAUCAAUGCAGUGCAUACUCAGAAAUAUGGAAAGUUCCAAAGAACAUUAUAUUUUAGAAACUUGUGUUCGAGUUUCGAAUUUCAGAGUUUAUAUAACAAAGUCAACCUUGAAUACAAUAAUUUAAAAGAGAAAAGAAAAUGUAUCUAAAGAAAAGUAAUCGAUGAAAAAAUGGAGAAAUAUGCAUGACCCUUGGAAGUAAGAAUGCGGCUAUAUCUGGAAGCCUUUUUGAUGAAUUCCUCAACAAUCUAACGCAACUCAAACACUGAAGCUUAAAAGAAUGGGAAACCAUUCACCAAGUGGACUAUGUUUUACACACAAUAAACCAUUGCAACAUGCUGUCACUCUAUAAUUCUCAUGCAAAAUCAUAUGACACGCAGACAUGACAUUCUACAUACUCAUGCUAUAUACUUAUAUGAAGAAGAGUCAAUAUGGUGUGUAAAAACAAAUUCUUAAUAAAAGAAAUAGCCAAUUCUAAUUGAUAGAAACCUUAUAGUUCACAUUCAUGGAUAAAUUGUUAAUAAAAAAAAGCCAGCCAUGCAACUGUUGAUAAAAAAGCCUUCAAUCUCGACAUAAGAUUUAAUAUGUACAUACAAAAGAUACUUCGCAUAAAGCAAACACAUAUCCACUCUUUAUCUAACUGAAGAAACUGAAACAAGGUAAAGCAAAUUAUAUACCUCAAAAUGUCAAGUAACCAAUGUGUUAGACAAAUACAAUCAAAUAAGCUGCCAAAAGAACAUUAAUAAAUGAAAAUUACAAAACAAAGAAAUAAUGAGAAACCAAAAUAUGCAUCUCAAAAUCUAAUCGCUUUAUAGCCUGCUGGCCAUUUUUAGUUCUUGAAUUUAGACAGUUAAACCAUGACUCAGCACAUGAAUGAAGCGAGAGCUUAAAAGAUAAGUGGGAUAAGCUAAAAGUCAUCCUCGAGUCAUGCAUUAACUUUCAAACUGUUCCAAAAUAGCUAACAUCUUUAAAAAAAUGAAUAACUAAAAUGCUUAAGUUAGCCAUAGGAAGCCUACAGAACAAAGUUAAACAUGACGAAUGAAUAAAAUGACAGACAGAUUUAAACAGCAUACCAAAAAAGGAGUUGCAACGCUGAAUUCUUCUCGACUUACCUAUUUAGUGAGUUAUUGGACCUAUUUAGAGACUGGACUGAAAUGAAGCCAACUCUGCAACAGAGAAACAAAUGAAAAGGUCAAAAUCCAGAAAUCCAAGUUUAACUCAAUCAAAUAUCAUAACCAAUGAAAUUUGCAAGCUGCAAAUAUUCAGCAAUGUAGACAAAGAAAUUUGUUUCUCAAAGACUUAAUUGGUCCUCUACUUGAUUAAUUGUCGUUUGGGAAAGGAAAUUUGAGACAACACCUCAUCAAAGAGAACCAUAUAUGCAUUUAAGUCAUGGUACAAUGGGCGGCCUUCGCUGCUGCAGUGAUCUAAUGCUUUGGCAAUGUUCAGAGCAACUGUUAGUCGUAUAGCCCACUCAAUGGUCUGAUUCUCCCCUGCCAAGGAAGUGUGAGGUGAAUUUAUACCUGCAGCGCUUUGAAAAGCUACAGGCAAUAAAUUUCAGAGGUCACUUGUCAAGAAUAUGAGAACGGGAAGAGCAAAAUAGCAGUCACAAUUUGAAAUGAAAAUAGCACACGUGUAGAUAACAAAUCGGCUUUGUGAAAGUGGUUUGAGAUCAGAAUAUUAUGCUCAAGUAGACCAAAUGCAUUCUUCAAAACGAUGAAUACAACAACAACAACAACAACAACAAAGCCUUUUCCCACUAAGUGGGGUCGGCUAUAUGAAUCCUAGAACGCCAUUGCGCUCGGUUUUGUGUCAUGUCCUCCGUUAGAUCCAAGUACUCUAAGUCUUUUCUUAGAGUCUCUUCCAAAGUUUUCCUAGGUCUUCCUCUACCCCUUCGGCCCUGAACCUCUGUCCCGUAGUCACAUCUUCGAACCGGAGCGUCAGUAGGCCUUCUUUGCACAUGUCCAAAUCACCGGAGCCGAUUUUCUCUCAUCUUUCCUACAAUUUCGGCUACUCCUACUUUACCUCGGAUAUCCUCAUUCCCAAUCUUAUCCUUUCUCGUGUGCCCACACAUCCCACGAAGCAUCCUCAUCUCCGCUACACCCAUUUUGUGUACGUGUUGAUGCUUCACCGCCCAACAUUCUGUGCCAUACAACAUCGCUGGCCUUAUUGCCGUCCUAUAAAAUUUUCCCUUGAGCUUCAGUGGCCUACGACGGUCACACAACACGCCGGAUGCACUUUUACACUUCAUCCAUCCAGCUCGUAUUCUAUGGUUGAGAUCUCCAUCUAAUUCUCCGUUCUCUUGCAAGAUAGAUCCUAGGUAGCGAAAACGGUCGCUUUUUGUGAUCUUCGCUAGAUUGCUCCGGUCAUUAGUGUGGAUAAGUAUAUAAAUGGAUAGAGAUAGGAAAGCAAACACAAGAUGUACGUGGUUCACCCAGAUUGGCUACGUCCACGGAAUAGAAGAGUUCUCAUUAAUUGUGAAGGGUUUACACAAGUACAUAGGUUCAAGCUCUCCUUUAGUGAGUACAAGUGAAUGAUUUAGUACAAAUGACAUUAGGAAAUAUUGUGGGAGAAUGAUCUCGUAAUCACGAAACUUCUAAGUAUCGGAGUGUGGUGUCGUCUUGACUUGCCUUAUCUGUCUCAUAGGUAGAUGUGGCAUCUUCUCUGGAAGUACUCUUCCUCCAUCCAGGGGUGGUAUCUUUAACUGGUGGAGAUGCACAAGGUAAUGUAUCAAUUUCACUUGAAGCUUACUUGUAGUUUCAGGCUUGGUCAAGCGCGAUACAAACCAUGUAGUAGGAGUCCCCCAAGUCGCCGAGCUAGGGGGUCUGCUGAAAGAGGUGACAGACAAGGUAAGCAAUCAGAGCUCCGACUGAUUGUUCACCUUCUCCCCAUCUUGCAGCAGCAUGAAGGAUAAAGAGAAGAAAAAUGAGAAGAGAUGAUAUGAGAUACUUUUGCUUUUGAAGAAGUAACUUUCCACAGGCUUAUUCUUGAACUGAGCUGGAGGGUUUUCUGGUUUCCUCCAGAGUAUAAGGCCGACUGAAGAAUUUGAGGGUCAAAACAAGUCCAUCAAAUCUAGAGUACGUUCCACCCUGCUGAUAUGGGAUACUUUUGCUUUUGACAGAGUAAUGGAUGUAUCGGCACGUGUGCUGUUACGCUUGUCUCCACAUGCUUCCUUGUAUCCUUCGCACUUGCCCUAUCUGUUCCUCAAGCAGAUGCGGAAUCUUCCCUGGAAACAUAAGAUGUUGAAGAUGAGUACUCGAGAGCAAUGCCAGGUAAGUAAUCAGGUAAGGGGUUCCAGGCAGUCAGUUCCUGGCUGGAAGCUUGAUUCCAAGUGCUGACUGAUUGCUCUCUUUCUCCUUGUCUUGCAGGUAAAAACAAGGCCAAAGGAAAAGACAGGGAAAAAGCAUGAUAUGGGAUACUCUUGCUUUUAACCCUGAUGAUAUGAGAUAUUCUUGCUCUAGUAUAGCUUGUUUGCAGAGGUAUUAUCGGGGGGAAAGAAAGCUGAAUAUUUCGAAAGGCUUCGUUGGGAGUGCCCUCUCAGAUAUGAUGAAGGGUUGAGCAUUUUUGCAGGUCUGCCUGUCCGUUGGGGAUGGAGGUCGACAUAUAUAGGAGUCUCCCUAACAACAAGUAGUAAUGCUAUUCCUUUACCCUGCUUGGUCAUAGCACGGUAGUGGGAGCUGCCAGUUUCACAUGUUUUAACUCUGUCAGAGCACUUUGAAAAAGUGGUCUGUGGUAUCUGGCUCUCGAGAUUCGGAGAACGAUGCCUCUUCGAUUUUUGAGAAAGCAAUCAUGCUGGGGGUCUGGCUCUCGAGAUUCGGAGAGCAGUGUCUCUUCGAUUUUUGAGAAAGUAAUCAUGUUGGGAGUCUGGCUCUCGAGAUUCGGAGGGCGGUGCCUCUUCGAUUUUGGAGCAAGCAAUCUUGUUGGGAGUGUUGUCUCGAAUGUGAGUAAAGGUUGGGCAUGUUUGCUAGUCUACCUUGCCACGAAGCACAAAGGUUGACACACAGGGACUUUCCAAUUAUCCAGCAAUGGUACUGUUCCUUUACCCUCUCUUCGAUUUUGAGAAAGUAGUCAUGUUGGGAGUCUGGCUCUCGAGAUUCGGAGGACGGUGCCUCUUCGAUUUUGGAGCAAGCAAUCUUGUUGGGAGUGUUUUCUCGAAUGUGAGUAAAGGUUGGGCAUGUUUGCUAGUCUACCUUGCCACGAAGCACAGAGGUUGACACACAGGGACUUUCCAAUUAUCCAGCAGUGGUACUGUUCCUUUACCCUUGUGGGUAAUAAUAUGGUAGCUAGACCUUCAAAAUUUAUGUGUCUAAACUUUGUUAGUGCUGUUUCUUUGCUAUUCUUUUACCUUUCUUGGUCAGAGCGAUGUAGUGGGAGCUGCAAGCUUCACGUGCUCAACUUUGGCAGAGAACUUUGGCAAAGUUAUCUGUGGUACCCAUGAGCUAUUGUUGCGUGUGGGAAGUGGGUGAUUGAACAGUAAGAUUCAUGUGCUUUCUACUUCACCAGAAGUCUUCGACAGAAUGCCCAUAAUUUCUGCAAAGCUGAGUGUGCGUGUGACAGGUGCUGACAAGGCUAGAAAAGUAGGUGCCUCUUCGAUUUCUGAGAUCGGCCCUCGUGGUCUCUGAGCAGCCCAGCUUUUGAGAAAGCGAGCGCCUCUUCGAUUGAUUCGGAGAACGAUGCCUCAUCGAUUUUUGAGAAAGCAAUCAUGCUGGGGGUCUGGCUCUCGAGAUUCGGGGAGCGGUGUCUCUUCGAUUUUUGAGAAAGUAAUCAUGUUGGGAGUCUGGCUCUCGAGAUUCGGAGGUCGGUGCCUCUUCGAUUUUGGAGCAAGCAAUCUUGUUGGGAGUGUUUUCUCGAAAUGUGAGUAAAGGUUGGGCAUGUUUGCUAGUCUACCUUGCCACGAAGCACAGAGGUUGACACACAGGGACUUUCCAAUUAUCCAGCAAUGGUACUGUUCCUUUACCCUCUCUUCGAUUUUUUGAGAAAGUAGUCAUGUUGGGAGUCUGGCUCUCGAGAUUCAGAGGACGGUGCCUCUUCGAUUUUGGAGCAAGCAAUCUUAUUGGGAGUGUUUUCUCGAAUGUGAGUAAAGGUUGGGCAUGUUUGGGCAUGUUUGCUAGUCUACCUUGCCACGAAGCACAGAGGUUGACACACAGGGACUUUCCAAUUAUCCAGCAGUGGUACUGUUCCUUUACCCUUGUGGGUAAUAAUAUGGUAGCUAGACCUUCAAAAUUUAUGGGUCUAAACUUUGUUAGUGCUGUUUCUUUGCUAUUCUUUUACCCUUCUUGGUCAGAGCGAUGUAGUGGGAGCUGCAAGCUUCACGUGCUCAACUUUGGCAGAGAACUUUGGCAAAGUUAUCUGUGGUACCCAUGAGCUAUUGUUGCGUGUGGGAAGUGGGUGAUUGAACAGUAAGAUUCAUAUGUUUUCUACUUCACCAGAAGUCUUUCGACAGAAUGCCCAUAAUUUCCGCAAAGCUAAGUGUGCGUGUGACAGGUGCUGACAAGGCUGGAAAAGUAGGUGCCUCUUCGAUUUCUGAGAUCGGCCCUCGUGGUCUCUGGGGAGCCCAGCUUUUGAGAAAGCGAGCGCCUCUUCGAUUUCUGAGAUCGGCCUUCGUGGUCUUUGAGCAGCCCAACUUUUGAGAAAGCAAACGCCUCUUCGAUUUCUGAGAUCAACCCUCGUGAUCUCUAAGCAGCCCAGCUUUUGAGAAAGCAAACGCCUCUUCGAUUUCUGAGCAGGCGCCUCUUCGAUUUCUGAAGCUCCGUCGAGUGCAGAUUUUAUAGGGGCUGGCAUUAAGUUCCAAAGCACACUUGAAUCUCCACCAGUAGAAGCUUCAUUCUUGCACUUCUAAGAUCUUGAUUUGUCCGACCUCUUCUCUCUUCAACACCUUUGAAAAUGUCUGGCCCCUCCGACCGUCGUUUUGACUUGAACCUUGUUGAAGAGGCAGCCCCGCCUUCUCCAGACAACAUAUGGCGCCCAUCCUUCGUCUCCCCUACUGGUCCUCUUACCGUUGGGGAUUCCGUGAUGAAGAAUGAUAUGACCGCUGCGGUGGUGGCCAGGAACCUUCUCACUCCCAAAGAUAACAGACUACUUUCCAAACGGUCUGAUGAGUUAGCUGUUAAGGAUUCGCUGGCUCUCAGUGUUCAGUGUGCAGGUUCUGUGUCUAAUAUGGCCCAACGCCUAUUUGCUCGAACCCGCCAAGUUGAAUCAUUGGCGGCUGAAGUGAUGAGUCUCAAACAGGAGAUUAGAGGGCUCAAGCAUGAGAAUAAACAGUUGCACCGGCUCGCACAUGACUAUGCUACAAACAUGAAGAGGAAGCUUGACCAGAUGAAGGAAACUGAUGGUCAGGUUUUACUUGAUCAUCAGAGAUUUGUGGGUUUGUUCCAAAGGCAUUUAUUGCCUUCGUCUUCUGGGGCUGUACCGCGUAAUGAAGCUCCAAAUGAUCAACCUCUGAUGCCUCCUCCUUCUAGGGUUCUGUCCAGUACUGAGGCUCCAAAUGAUCCCCCUCCGGUGCCUUCUCUUUCUGGGGCUCUACCGACUGCUGAGACUUCUCCUAAGCAACCUUUGUGAAGGCUCCCUCUUGUGUGUUUAUUUUGACUCAUGUAUAUGUACAUAUUUGUAGCUUAUCGGGGAUAUCAAUAAAUAAGCUUUCCUUCAUUUCAACGUAUUGUGUUAAAUACACCAAAGCCUUCUUCGCUAAGUUCUUUGAAUUUUCUUUUGUUGAAGCUUGUAUGUUGAAGCUUUCUGAGUGGAGCAUGUAGGUUGGGGUAGUGUUCCCUUAAUUUCCCGAGUGAGGAAAACUUCUCGGUUGGAGACUUGGAAAAUCCAAGUCACUGAGUGGGAUCGGCUAUAUGAAUCUUAGAACGCCAUUGUGCUCGAUCCUGUGUCAUGUCCUUCGUUAGAUCCAAGUACUCUAAGUCUUUUCUUAGAGUCUCUUCCAAAGUUUUCCUAGGUCUUCCUCUACCCCUUCGGCCCUGAACCUCUGUCCCAUAGUCGCAUCUUCUAAUCGGAGCGUCAGUAGGCCUUCUUUGCACAUGUCCAAACCACCGUAACCGAUUUUCUCUCAUCUUUCCUUCAAUUUCGGCUACUCCUACUUUACCCCGGAUAUCCUUAUUCCUAAUCUUAUCCUUUCUCGUGUGCCCACACAUCCAACGAAGCAUCCUCAUCUCCGCUACACUCAUUUUGUGUACGUGUUGAUGCUUCACCGCCCAACAUUCUGUGCCAUACAGCAUCGCCGGCCUUAUUGUCAUCCUAUAAAAUUUUCCCUUGAGCUUCAGUGGCAUACGGCGGUCACACAACACGCCGGAUGCACUCUUCCACUUCAUCCAUCCAGCUUGUAUUCUAUGGUUGAGAUCUCCAUCUAAUUCUCCGUUCUUUUGCUUUUUAAAAAGAUGGAGGUAGGGGUUAAAGAGGGGAGACCAACGGGGUAAGAGCCCCCCGUUGCUCUGAUUAAGUCAACGGGGUUUUCCCUCUGCCAGCUUUUUUUUUUCUUUUUAAGCGGGGUGAAUGACUAAAAAAAUUAAUAUCUUAUGUAAAAGAAGAGAAAAUUAUAUCUUUGCAGGACUGUGGCCUUAUCCAAAAGUCUAGCCAAAACAACAUCCUAAAAGUAGUAGAAGUAAGAAAUGAAACUGAAUAAGUAGGAAAAACAAAAAGGUUAAACAGAAAACAGGCAACCUUGAAAUAUUCAACUUUAUAUGUCUGGUGUAUCUUUGACAACACCAUAGCAUCUUUAAUCGGUAUGGCCUGUGCAAAAUGAAAUUGUCAAUCCUGAUUCACAGAGAAGAAAAAACCUACUCCCAUAUAAAUUAACAUGCUAUCCAACAUUCCUAGUCAUUAGCCCCAAUCCCAAUCAAAAAUCCUGCCAGCACAAAAAUUAUUAGUCCUAACAAUGUAUAAAUCUAUAUGUACACAUAUAUUCACACACACAUAUAUUUAUAUCCACCGACAACAUUGAGUUCAAUCCAAAUCUAUAGUCCUAACAAUGUACUAAACACAUAAGAAACAUAAGUCCAAUGUACCUCCAACAAGGACUUGAACCAUCUUUCGAGAGUCACCAUAGCUUUCCUUUGCCCUUUUUCUCUUUCUAAUCUCAGCAGAUUUUAUCUGGAAACAUAUAAAAACUACAAAAUCACAACUCUCUUAUACUGGAUCAAUGUUUUGCUCUGAAAUCUCUAUUUUAGACUUAGUAUCGAGAAACGAAAAAGUCUUAAAUGCAAAAGAUAACUCAUUCAUCACAAAGCAACAAUACAUUUGCAGUAACUGUUUAAAUCAGAACAUAUGAUUAUCAUGAACUGCAGCAUUAGCAUUCUAAUUAGAAACUUGUUGCCAUAAAAUUGAACAUUUCGCUACCGUUUUUUAUCGCAUUAAACAAUCCGAUUAUCGAUAAUUACCUAAGCAGAAGCUUGAAUUUCUCUGGCAGUCAUAUCCAAAGCAAGUGCAUAACCUUACACCAUCCGAUUUUCGCUAAUUAGAUUUAAACUUAAAACCAAAUCAUUAACAGCAUCAUUAUAUUAAAACUAAAUCAUUAGCAGCAGCAUUACUAACUGAUUAAUUAAACUAAAUCAUUAACAGCAACACUAUUAACUGAUUAAUUAACUGACCUUCAAAAAAUAAAUAAAAAGUGAUUAAUUAACAAAUAACAGUAACGAAAAUUACAAAUUUACCCGCAACGUAAUCCAUGGCGGUGGAUUGCGGAACAUCGCUAGCUUUCUGAGAGAUGAUCACCGCCACCUCAUGGUCCAACGAUAACAGAGGGUGAGGGACUUCGAUCGUGCCGCCGUUCAUCAAGUAAGACAACGUCGGUUUGAGGAAAAGCACGGGCUCCCUAAUAAAUCAGAAUUAAGAGAGGAGUGAGGAAGAGGAGAGAGAAAGAGGUGGGUUCUCCCAUUUCACAUAGUUUACUUUGUAUACGUAUAAAGACAAUUGGUUUCUUCACAUAAUCAACUCAAAUGUCCCUGCCAAAAUACAUUCUCCAACUGAAAUAGGUUUAUGAGACCAUAAGUAUCCCCUCUUUUUAAACCAUAUCUAACUAAUUUCAUGUCAUUUCGGAAAUGGCCUAUUUACCCUUUCCUGUCAGAUACAGAUUAGAUUUUGUAGUAAAUUCAUGAUGCAACUGUACCAAUUGUGAUAAUUUCAGAGUUUCCUGUGCACGAUAUCAACAACUUGUAUUGCCUAACAAUCUUUACCCUUCUUUCCAUUAAAAACUCUAACCACCAGGAAUCUCGCUUCAAAUCAUGACAAAAUGAUUCAUGAGCUUAAUUGAAAUAAAUUAACACAUUGACUGACUAAAUGAACCGAGAAUAAAGACAUCUAAAAUCUUAUUAAUUAAGUACAAUUACCAGAAGAAGCUGAAUAAAAUGUCAAAAGUGAUACAUUGAGAUAAGGUUGGUGGCAUCAAAAUCACUAAGAAAAUAUGCACAAACCCAAUAUGCAUCAAAAUCACGAAUACUUGAUUUCACUUGCUUGUUAAAAUAUAAAAAAUUCAAAUAAUAUUGUUUCCAAAAACUUGUUUAAAGAAAACAAAAAAUAGUCACAUCUAAAGGCUCUAACCGUAUGGUGCGGGUACUUCCUCUAAAACCCAUGGAUUAGUCUUAAAAUCAAAACUUUUUACUCUUGAUGUAUUCCUAACUACUAAGAUAGCCUACGGACCUCACCAAAGGUGAUAAGGCGGCACAUGCAGUUAUAUCUUAUUCUUUCAAAAAAAAAAAAUGGCACUUAUAGUUUGGGAUUGCAUAGGUCCUGAGUUCUUAUUUAAUAUUUUUGUGGAGGAUAUAAACAUUUUAAUUAAAUUAUAAUAAAUUUUAUCUUUUGGAAAAAAAAAACGAAAAAUACUAUUGAUCUUAACCUAAAUUAAUUCUGCUUUAAGUCCUCAAGGGUCAACUUCACAAAAGGUAAACUUGUUAUAUAUGUUCAUUAAAAGGUGAGCAAAAGAAAAAUAUAUGGAUGAGAAUAGCAAUUCUUUUAAAUUUCUUUUUUUGUUGUCAAUUAUUUAAUCUCUAAUAUUGUAUUUUAAUGGCUACUUAGUGCUUUCUAAAGUAUUUAUAUCCACUUCUAAAUUAGAGAUUUUAGACUUGAAGCAUAUGAAAAGCGAGCUCGAUACCAAAUAUUUAUUAUAGACUAUUGCUAGGCUUAAUCAAACCCCUCAGCCCUUAAUGUAGUUUUAGUAAAAAAAAAAAAGCAUUGUAUGUAUUAAGUAUCAAGCAGAUCCUGCCAAAAAAAACAAAGCAGAUACCCAAAUCGAUAAAAAUAUAACACAAGAUUCUUGCUGCAAGUUGCAUUUGAAAGUAAAUAUCCUAAGAAAUCGAGCACCUGGAAAGACCAUUAAAAAUGCAAAUUGCAUUUGAGCUAGUUGUCACAAAGCUGAAGGGUUCAAAGAAUAAGGUUAUUGUAUAAAGCCAGUACCUGUAUUAUAAGUUCGUAAAUGUGAUUGAUGGAACUGUAGAGUUGACAAAAACAUAACUUAAGAAGAAAUUAACUAAACGUAACCCAUGCAUUUAAGCUAAUGAUCAGGAGAGUUUCUUUUGGUUCUUGACCUUCCACUCUUUGAUAUUAACUUCAAUCUUUGCUCUCACACUUUUAUGAAACCCUGGAUAAGGUUCAUACCCAAAGGCUGAUUGAAGAAGCUCAAGCAACACGAAGUAAGGCCCCAUCAGAAGUGCUUGAGCAAAGUUGUCUGCAAGAGCUGGUCCUCUUUUU